Molecule: long non-coding RNA, 58199 nt
Filed under: Citrus maxima (pomelo)
Lineage: Eukaryota; Viridiplantae; Streptophyta; Magnoliopsida; Sapindales; Rutaceae
Description: long non-coding RNA (CMAX_LNC001790)
Source: RNAcentral
UAUAACCCACGUAGCGAUAAGCACUACUUUAGAUGAAUCUUUUGAUUAAUGUGACGCUUCUAAAUUAAACGGGCAUAAAGAUUGCAGCAAAGUUACUUAUUUCACUGCCAAAGCACCCAAUUGCAACCAUUUUGGAUCUUGCAGUUAGAAAUUCACUGUUACAUCCAUUCAUCCAAUCAAAACACAAAUCAAGAAGAAAAUUUUGUAUCCUUCUAUUGGAUUCAAUAUUUUACAUAUUUAUAAUACAUUUUACAUAGACCAAAUAAUGUUGUACGCACCACUACAAAAGUUUCAGAGAGAAAAACUGGAUUACCAAGUGAUCAAUAAUUAUUUUCUCGAGAAAAUUAGGGUAAUAAUAACACCAAAGACAACCUUACGACAUGUAAGGUAAUAACGGUUGGCCUGCAAAUCCAGCAAGAUUGUUUUUUUUUUGGUUUAAUAUAAUAACACUACCGAUGAAUCAAUCUCACUGGAUAAAAUCACCCAAAAUCGUUAAAUUAUACUCCCAUUAUAUCAAAUCUCAUCAUCGAUCUAAAUCAACCCCUCUAUAUUUACAUGAUCAGAAAAACUUUCACGCAUCCAUUCCGUUCCGUUCCCUUCCCCUCCCCUCUUCAUGCUAAGAAACUAAUUUUUAUGGAGAGCUCUGAUUCCGCCACGUGUUAUUAACACCCCGUCCGUCACGCAACUCGCUCUUUGAUGAUCAGAAGAGCAAUAAUUAAUCAGACAUAUCGUGAUCGUGCCAGCAGAGGAGCAUAGAUAUGCAGCGUCCGAGGAUGUAGAAUCGGGUCUUCUGUUGCUUCACCAUACGCGCACAGCGCUUUCGAAUCUCAGUUUUCUUGCUGUGGCUUUUAUGACGGCGGGAUUCGGAGGUCAGGUAAAUGUAAGGAACGGACAUGCUGCUGCUGCUGCUGGCGAUGGUGGAAGAUGUUGUCGUGGGCAAAUUUGAUUAGCGAGAGCUUCUUCCUUCACGCGGCCGCUGCUGCCGCUGCUGUUUUUCGUUUGUGGUAGUUAUAUAGACGGGACGUCUGAUGAGGGAGGCUAUGGACGGCGUGGUCCCAUGUUUGAAGUUUAAUGUCAAUUGCAUGGAAACUUAAACUUUCACGAUUUGACAUUACUAUCCCCAUUUAAAAUACCUUCAUUUCCUAUUUUUCACCCUCCAAUUUUCUUGUGGUUGAGAAUUUAAUUACCAUCUUUUUUUCGCCUUUCUAAAAUUAAGAUAUCUUAAAUGUGAGCCUCCAAUUUUUUAUUUCGGAAAUUUAUAAAAGCUUAAAAACUAAUUACAAUGUAAUUUUUAUUUAAUUUAAAUAGUUUUUUUGGAUAAACUAAUUUUGAAUAUACUAAUUUUUUUAAAUAAUGGUAUACAUAAACAAAUUUCCUCAUAUAAAAUCCAUAUCUCAUCAUUAAAUUAUUUCAUAUCAUAAAUCUUUAUAUGCUCACCCAUUGCCACUUUGAAGUUACAAUAACAUAUGUAUUAUAUGGGAUUCUAUACACGUGAUAUUGUUGAUUGUAAUUUUUAACUGCUCAUUUUUAUUAUAAACUAAUCAAAUUUAGAAGCUUCUUAAAAAAAAAAGGAAGAUUGGUCAGCAAAAUAAAUUCCGGGUUAUUUUGGUCAUUUCAAAAAAUAAAUUUACGUCGGUCAAAGCUUUGUGGGGCUCGCUCCAAAGGAAAAAGACCUGAAGGACGAAAAGGAACAAAUGUAUAGUAUAGCCCACAGCCCACAGCCCCACACCACUUUCAACAUCUAGCUUCGCAUGUAUGACAAGGCACUCUUGUCGUUAUUUAACCACGUUUUCCUUUUCGGCAAAAGCUUCUAGGUUGGCUGCCGCCCGACUGCUCAAAUUCGACUUAUCGUCCUCUCGUCGUUGUCUCACUCACCAAAUUAAAAAAAAAAAAAGAAUUGCUAACACUGUACUUGAACUAAGUGGCGAAUAUUAAAGUCGCCAAACUGACACGUUUUUGUAAUUACGUAGAGAUCCUUACUUCUUCAGAAAAGUUUUUAAAUCAUUCUUAUCCGUUGCAAUUUGCGAGAAAGAUUACGUUCAGAGCCGACAUUCUAGUAGCAAAUGGUAAGCAUGUGGGAGCCAGGUUUGGCACCAAUGAAUAGCGUCGACAAUAUAUUACAAUACAAUUAAUAUACAAGUAAAAAGUUCAACAAUUGUCAACUUAUGCAAUAGCAUUAGGUCUUACCCCGCUAAUCAGCCGCAGAUGAACUGCUACGUGAGUUUUGCCUAACCGUUAUAAGAAAUAUUUAUUUACCAUUGUUAUCUAUUAUUACCCCUCGUUUUAAUUCAGAAAUCGCAUCUUGUUUACGUUUUAAGGUGGUAAUAUUUGUCGAGUAGCUUCUCAGUGUAUUCUCCAAAUGUAAGAGCACCAUUUGAUGGUAUCACCUGAAAUGAGUCACAGGAAUAUGGUUAGUUAAAUUACAACCACAUUCACCUAACACAUUCAUACUACAUUAAUUGAUAGUCAUUGAGGCCUUGACCUGCUGGUGGGCUUAUUUCCUCAAAAAGUUAGAGGUUAUAGACUCAAAAUAUUUUUCUUCUUACACUAUAUGAUUAGCAGCAGAUAUCUCUCUAAAUAUUAGUACGGAUAGAUGUAGACCUCUAAGCUAUAAUACAAUUUAUAUGGUAAUAUAUCUAAAUACAAAUGUGAGUAGUAGUAGAUAUCUCUCUAAAUAUUAGUAGGAGUAGAUGAGGACCUCCAAGCAAUAAUACAUUCAUAUGGUAAUAUAUCUAAAUUGAUUAUAUUAUUGUAGAUCAUAACCAAUCGAAAAAAUAUAUAUACAUUCAUAGGUCUUAUUAGCAAAAAUGAAGCUAGCUACACAAUUUUCUUUUAAAUGAAUGGGGACGACUCAAUAAUGGAGGAAGAAAAGAGGGAGGGGAGGGGGGUGACAGAUGAACUACUUCUAUCACCUCAGUAUAUUUUUAUAGAGUUUUCAGAUAGCAAAGACGGGCCAAACAUUCUCAGACCGUCAUAAAGGUUUAGGGUUUUGACACAUACCUCUUUAUGAAUAUGUGCAUCCUCCGGAAAAUUAAGCUUUUCGUCCCUGUAAAACAAGUCUUAAAAAUGAGAAUUUUAAAAGAAAAUACAAUCUAUAAUGCUGUUUUCUCCCAUAAAAAUUAUACUGGCAUAAGUGAGGCUAAAAAAAUAUGUAUUAUACAAAUCAACUUUGUGAAUAAACCUACCAGUCAGGUUGCAUAAAUAAUGCAAAUGUUGAUCGGUCAAUACCAGAGGCCUCCUCUCCUCUUGGCGCCUACCAGAAAGCAAGAAAUAUUAUCACAGACUAUGGCAAUGGAAACGGGAUCUAAAAUUUAGAACAUAAGAAAUUUAUAGGUAUAUCAUGAUUGUGCCUAUAGAAGUUAAACCAUUGGCAAAACUUAGAUUAUGCCUACACACUCUGUAAUGAACUUAACUUUGUUGAAGCUAUCAUUUUGGAAAACAUAGUUAAACCUGAGACUAUGCAACCUCCCUAAACAGUAAAUCAAGUCUGUCUUAAGUCAAAGCACCAGUCCACUGAAAAGAAUCAAAGUUCAAUACCUUAGAGAUAGACUGGUUUAUAUAAGCUUCAAUGUAUCAAUUCAAGAAAGAAAGGACUCCAUAAAACAUCUAACAUAUUAUUGGCCCGCUAAUUAUAAAAAUUUUGACAUGACAAAUAUCACAUCUACAUCAAGAGUGGAUUUGAGGACAAAAUAAGACCUUACAAGACAAACCAAAUGUACAUUGUUUGAGUCAGUUUUAUGACAGUAUAUGCAUGGUAUGGUGAAAAUUUUCCAAAAUCUUCCUGAAACACAAAAAAUGAAUUAUAGAAAGUACCCGGACACAGUGAGGUGUUGCACAAAGAUAACUUCUUGACAAUAUUUCAGUGGUUUCCCCAAUUUGGUAUGCUAUCUCAUCUUCACCAAAGACAACCUUACGGGCAAACAGAACACAAGUUACAAUGAAAUAGCAAAUAUAUACUUCUAAAGCACAUAGCAAAAAAAUAUUUGAGUUCAAUAACUGAUAAGAAGGUUGCAAUCAACUUAUUACAGAGCAUCAUUCAUUUGCUAUGAAGAAAACUUUGAAACAAGCCAAAGGCGAUGUCGAUUAUCAUUAAUCCUUUUUAUGCAUUAUUCGAAUAUCAUGAUCAAGAAUGUAUACUUUGACAAUUUGAUCAGUCCGAGUUCUUAUAUAUAGGCCAGCAGCACUAUCAGGGCAAGGUAUUACUGUACCGUCUUUCGUAAACAUGCCACAGGUCAGACCUGCAUAUUGAAUUGGAAAGAUAGAUACAAAUUGUAAGAAAAGGCAAUCUUAAAAUUGAUAUUUCAAUACAAAAUGAAAUUUAAAGUUAAAGGCUAGACAAAAUCAACGAACUGAUUUCUGUGCUGGAGUGGGGAAAACAAUACUUUGAGAAAUUGCACAUUCCUAACUACACAUCAAUAUUGACACAAAUUUUGCCAAGAUAAAUUGCAGGGAGAAAUAUUAAGUGACAUAUAAAGGACUUUUAAGUGACAUUAUUAUGUUUAUGCAAUGGAAACCAGUAAAUACAGCAUCAUCAUCAAAACCAUGAACAUUGUAACUUUUGCAAGUACACAGGGGGUCAGGAAGUUAGAAUUCCACAAAAAAAUUAUCAUCGAGCUUGCCCGUGCACUGAGGCAAGAAAGAAUGAUUAGGGGACCAGAAAAAUUCAUUACCUGUCAGUGAACCAUGGUCUGUGUGCCAUCCACACCAAGAGGACAUCGAGUCACCAUCUCGGAUACAAUUGCUGCAAGUCACAGAACUCGUUAUAAUCAUCUGUGGAUUGCCAUAAAAAAUUGAUUAAAUAUUGAGAAAAAAAUACUUUGGUAUGUACAGUUGCUUUUUCUUUUUCUUUUGGCAGCUAAUAACAAAAAAUGUCUUUUAUCAUAAACAAUAAGUAUAGGUCAUAGUUAUGACAAAAAUAAAGGGCUGGAAUUCACAUGAAUCAUGCUUAAUUACCAUGGCUGCUAACUAGGUCAAAAUUAUCAUGACAAGAUCAACAGAAAGAUAAACAUAGAAGAACUGUCAGAUGCGCAAUGUUAUAUGUGUCAUUCCAUAUACCUGAAAGAUGAUUGCUUAUUCAUCAAAAAUUGUCCAAAUAGAAAAUGCAAAAAUUGAAGAAUCCCAACCUAAUCUGGUAUUAGCCAUUGUGCCCACCAAUUAGACUUACAUCUGAAUGAUGCUCAGAUUUAUCACUAUAAAUACCAAAACUUACAGAAUCUUGAAUGCUUAAGUGAUAACCAGUAGGCUUUUUUUUUUUUUUUCUCUUUUUAAUAAGAAUUACCAUAUGUUUGCUUUAUAUAUUGCCUUGGGAUGAUAAUGUCCAUCAACAAAUUGAUAUCCAGUUCCAUCCAUAUGGACAUGUAGAUCUUCUUACUCUGUACCAGAAUAUCUGUGGAAAGUAAGUAGAAUAAAUUCAAGACCCAAAGUUUUACUCUCUACGCUCUGGUUUGGUUAAGUCAUAUAAUUUUCGGAGAAUACCACAUGUACCAAAAGCAACCCUGUCAAGUAAACUCCUCUAUUUACAUUUCAAUGAAACCACCUAAUUGAUCUAUACAGGGAAAACUGAUAGAAUUACCUCUGCUGUGCAGGAAAAUAAUAAAGAAGACGGCCUUUGUGACACCGGGAGCGAAGAAGUAUUUGUUCAAGGCCCUCAUUCUCUUUCAUUUUCAUUCCUUUAGAUACUGCCCAAGUGCUCAUAAAAAAAUAUUGUAAGGGUCUUAUUCAGCCACAUAUACAUAAAUAAUUCUAGACUCUGAAAAAGUUGAAACUAUUUACUUUUAAGGAAUGAAGCAUGCAUCAACAAUAUAGUUAGUUGAGACUCAUGAAUCCUCAUUCUAAAUCCAGUGAGAAACAUUUCCAAAAACUAAGAAAAUUAUUUUUCUACUUCCAAGAAAUCCUUUGAAUACUUCUGCAGAAUGGUAAGUAUUUUUCAGGGCAAAAAGACAUGUACCCAUAGUCAGCUGUUAGUAUAACAUAUCUAAAAUAGAGCCUAGAAAUCACAAUAAUCAUUUCCAAAGUAUUUAAAAGCCAGAGUGUCAUGCCUAAGGAAUUUACCAUAUUGGUCGCAGUGAUAUGCCAACAUCAACCCAACAUCUACAAUCAGCUUUCCAAGGGCUUUGAAAGCUAGACACCAAAAAUUAACCUUCAGUAAAUGUAGAAAAUAAUUGAAAAGUGAAUUUGAAAAAUAAAUAAAUGAAUAAAAAAUCUAACAUAGAUGAAAACUGUGAAAGGAACACAAGAAGAUGGGACCGGAAAACAAGUGUAGCACCAAACAAGAAUUACACUCCCACUUAUAGCUUCAUUUUCAAAAAAAUUGGCAGAGACUCGUACCAAAAGAUUAGAUUACUCUGAAAAUAUGCUCAUAUAAAGGAAAAAAAAAUGAAACCAAUAUCUGCUUCAAAAAUCGGCUGAAACUACUGUCAGUUUAAAACAACUAUUCCGAUAUAGAAUAGAAGUUGACAACGUAAAAAAAGUGUAGACUGCAUACAAAGAAGUUUCUUCCCUGCAGUACACACUUGCGCUCACACAAAGACACAAAAAUAGAGAAUCAUAAAUUUGUAUAACUGUUUAAAUACAAGCUCUCAGAUCAUGAAUCCAAGAAAUCACAUAACUAUGAUAAACAAACCUCUCAAGAGACAAUUUCCAGCAAGCAGAAUAAGUCUCUCUUAAAAGCCAAUAAAGGAAUAUAGUAAUAUUUUGUGAGCAUACCCACUUCAAGUUCUGGUAGUGCACUAUGAGGCCAUAUAUUUGAACCACAAUAUGAUGGAUACCUAAAAGACAGAGAACGGGAAAUAAAUAAAGCAACAAACCACAUCAAGAUUUUGCAUAUCUAAUCUAAAUAUGCGCAAAUGAACAUAAGAUGCAUAUAACACAUAUCUUUCAAAAGUAAAAAAAUCAUCCCAGCAAAUGUAUUAUUGUCUUCCACAGACUGUAUCAUAUGAAGAUAGAUAUAACACAAAUUUUUGUUAUCCACUUUAUCCACACACUAACAAUCAAUUUUGCCAGCCAUAAAAUCUCCAGGAACAAGGGAAUGACAGUCAACACUACAAACACUUGAAAUGCUGUUAAUAUCUCUUACCUUUCGAUUAAAUGAGUCUCUGUUGUAGGCACAUCUAACAAUGGAUUCGCAUAGAAGGAGCCCUUCAAAAUAUCUGCACAAGAUUAGAAUUAAAGAGGUUAAGACCCUACUUGCAGGCAUAAACAGACAUCAUGAGAAAUAUAAAAAAUAAUCAUAGUAAGGCAUAGAACACCAACACUUCCUAAUAAUAUGUAUCAACAUGAACCACAUCCAAAGGCAGGGGCAGAACAAGCCAAUCUUGGCUGGAGGGGCCAAAGAAUUUUUGCAAACCUAUAAAAUAGGUAUUUUAUUAAUAUAUGUUUAUUUUAAUAUAAAAUAUUGAGUAUUAAACUUUUUUUUUUUUUACAGUGGCCAUGGCCCAUGCCAGUCCCUUAAUAGAUCCGCCCCUGUCCAAAGGUAAACAAAGCCGAUGUGUCAUUAUAACUGCAAUCACGUCUAGCUGCCAGUGUUCAAUCCAUUUUAUGUUUCAAAUUCCUCAAAACUUCAAAUGACUCCAUCCCUCCAUGUCCAAACUUAGGAACUCCCACUCUAUUCAAUCAUUUACAUAAAUAUCAUGGGAACAUGAAUCCUGAAAAAUAUACAGACUGCUCAUAUUAUGCUGUAUUUUAUUGAUUGCAAUAAUCAUGCAUCACAACAGGUGAAAUAUCUCAAGAUUGAAAUCAGCUUGGCCUGUGUUAGAACAAGAUGACCAAACUCAAGAACCUGCAUUCAAAAAUUUCCAUUAGAAAUAAUAGGGUCUUCUUUAUAACAUGAAAGCAUACCAGGGUUCCCGGAUUCAAGCUUCUCUUUACCAUGACUCCAUCCGAAGUUGUACCUACAAACAGAGAGUGAGCAGAAGAAACAAAGAGUUAGAGCACCUCAUAUACUGUGAGAUUAUGAACUUGGAAAUAUAUUUCGAUUCCAAUGCAAGAAUACCAAGCCUUCCACAAACAAAAUCACCAGAAAAAAGGUUCUAGUUAUUCAUGAUAAACACAGCAUUUCCAUGGGCUGCAGGCCAUGCUAAGUAUUGCUGUUAACAGCUUUAGGUAGGAUUUAAGGAAAAUAUACUGUUUACUUUUUUCAUCAAAUAGAAAAUAUGGGACAUGACCAUAUGAGGAAAGAGAUACUUGGGUAAGGCCAUGCUAAUCAUCUAUGCGAUCAAAAGCCCUAACGAUCACAGAGGAUAAAUGGGUAAACUCCAUCACCUGAGUUAAGUAGCAUAUGAUGCACUCACGAGGAGGACAUAACCAUGUGAAGACAACAUUAUUCUACUGGUAUGGCUAUCAAGGUUGGUGAGUAGAACUCUGAAUGGCAUUAUAAUAUGUGUCAGGACCUUCUGGAAUCAAUAAAGAGUUCAACUGACAUAAUACCUUUCGAGUAAGAAAUGAAAUCGUUAAGUACGAAUAAGGUGAAAGUUUAUCUUUUCAAAACAAGUCUAAGGAACCCAAUUGGUAUAAAGGGAAUAUAGAUAUAAUAAGAUCCUUCCCACAUAAGCCUAGAGCUAUCCAGAGCUAUUUAACAAACCUCUAUGCUAAGUGGAGGCCAAAGACACAUCCAAAGCAACCAAAAUAAGCCAUCAAAGGGAAUAAAGUAAAUAAAAGAAGAUGAACGGUGAAAUCAAACAACAAUACAGGAGCUAGUGGAAAGUAGAAUCAGACCUACUGUGAUGAUCUUCAAGAUCCUUCUUCACAUCUUCAGGAAGGUUAGCUAAUCUGAUAAAACAGAAUCUUGUGAACAACUUAUGAAAAAGUUACUUGUCCUAAAUAAUAUCUACCCGCAAGCUCAACCUGAGCAUUGAAAAUCUAGUUCGAAUCUUAUACCUAGGUGCAAGAUGCAGGAGAUUUUGAUGCAGUGAAGAAAAUCCAGGAACCUAAAACAAAAACAGGUCAACUUCAAACAGGUAAUACAAGCAUAUUGAAAGCAAAAUGACUGACUAAUUCCUGAACAAAGACACUAGUUGUCCAAAUUUCAAAUGUAAAGACACAUACAAAAUACAUAAAUAUAGAGGGGGAACAAAAAGAGUUUCAAAAAUGGGAAGGGGACUUCAUCAAACUUGCUACUUCAUUUUGUGUUACACAUUGCCACAGGUUUCAUCAUAUUCAAAAGUUAUACUCGUUAUACCAUACUUGGCAAUGAAACUAUACAAAGCCAAUGGGCAUCUCAGUUCCGAUUAUGUACUUAAAGUUCACAUGUCCACAAAAACUUGGGCAUUGUGGAUGGUUGUUCGCCAAUCAUAACUUUGAAGUUGGGUAAAGACAAACUGGUAAGAGUAAUAUAAAUUUUUCAUCAAACAGCUGUGGGUUAAAAUCAACAUAGCUUUCAAAAGUCAGAAGAAAAUUGAAAUGUUUACCAGACACUAAAGCUACUUUGCUUUGAAAGCACAGCUGUUAAACAACAAUACCAAACGGGGCCUUAAAUGACCUAUUAAUCUUCCAAUGUUCUUUCACAAGUUAACACAGAGUGACAAUAAUUGUCAGGAUAUAUCAAAUUCAGGUAUCGCUAUAGAUAUUCCGCUUAAAUUUCAGUAUCAGUUAUUUGUCAGCCAAACAGAACAUUGAAAGACUAAAAUAUGAUCAAGUAUAUACAUAUGUGCAAGUGCAACAAAAUGGACAAAUAUAUAUGAAAAGAAAAAAAUAGAAAAUUCAACUGCAAAAUUUAUUUCAUACGUCUGUAACAGAUAGAAUUCCGAGACCGUUGGGUCCAAAACCUUGUUCAAUCUUCAUCGACAAGUCAGCAUUCUUGUCCUGUUUCAAUCAAUUCAAACAACCGACAGUAAAUUUCAAACACGUGUGUUUCACACUAGCAUACGCACCAAGACUUUGAGAACUAACGUCCGAAGGUGAGCAAGGGACACAGAGACUUUACCUUGAGCUCCGAGUACGAAAUAGUGACGGUUCUGAGAGUGGGGGAAACGGCUGCGGACGAGCAACUCAUCUUCUGACACGUAAUCCGGUGGGAAGCACUGCGAUUGGAGGGCCGGGCAAGGAUGAAUUGAGUGCCGAAAUGAGUUUUAUAGACAAGCGACCCUGAGAGAAUCGGAUUCAUGCGCGAAGUGAGUGUGAUGGUCAAUUCAAAUGAGAUGAAAACAAAAGGAAAAACACAAGCAAAAGGAAUAAAAUAGCAAGCGGUGUGGUUUUGGCUCUUCGCGUUUGUUCUUUAAAUUGAUUAUCGGCCGGCCCAAACCUUUUACGUGAGUUGCGUAAGUCGUUCCUAUUCGCCGUCGUUCCCGCUAAACAUUACAAAUUUAUAAUUCCCCGCAAUUAAAAUUACAAAAAAAAUAUUCACAAAAAGACAAGAAAAAUGUGAUUUAUACAGUUUAAAGCUAUUAUUUUAAUAUAAAAACUAUCAUCUAAUUCCCUAACUUUUCUUCUUUUAAGUGAUACCAAAAAAAAAAUAAAUAAAUUUCGGAUUAUCCUUAAUUAUCUAUAAGUUACCUUUUAUUUUUAAAAGCUUUAAAUUAUUUUACUUUUUAUUUCAAAAAUUAAGUGCAAAUAAUUGUAUAUUGAUAAAAAUUAUUGUCUUCUGAACAAAAAGUAUGCCAUAUUUAAAUUUCCAUAUUUAAAUUUAAAAAGCAAAUAAGUGAAUUAAAAAUAGCCAAUUUCAAUAUAAUAAUUCUUUUAUUCAUUAUAGGAGAGAAAUUUCAACUUGGUUCCUCGUGUUUUUUAUACCAAUUUACAAUCUUUACCAAUUGAACUAAUCAGUAGAAUGAGAUGUGUGUCACGAUAUAAAAAUGAAAUAAUUUUUUUUAUGAUUGGAUUGACAUAUUCUGACUUAUUAAUAAUCUUAUAUUUAAUAUUUUUUUAUGUUGAACUAUUUAUUAGUGUCAUAUAUGUUUUCUCAAUUCAUUUAUGACCAAUUUAACAACAAUUUCAUUAUAUUUAUUAUGUAUUAAAUCCAUCUUUAUUUUUUUCGGUAGAAAAAUGACCGAACAACUUUUUAACCUCUUUUUACUUAGCUUUUAAUUAUUUAAUUCCUAAAAAAUAGGCGUAAUUUCUUAUUAAGUUAAGUAUAUAUUGCAGGUCGAAUUCGAAUCUAAGACUCAAGACUUUUUUUUUUUUUUUUAUAAGUAAGACUCAAGACUUUAAAUCUUAUGAAAACCACUUUUUAUUUUCUGCUAAAACUAAACAGUAACUCCUACUCAACACUACAUUUUAAAAAAUACAAGUACACACAUUAGAAAAAAAAAAAGAACCAUGAAUGCUAAAUCUCAAUCACACCAAGGAAGAAAAAUGAUGAGAUGUGAUUAUAUGAACGGUUGAACAUGCUCGCAAUUCACAUAAUUUAUGUAAUUUAUUUAUUUUUUAUUGCUUUUUAUUAUAAUAUACUACAGAUGUGGACACUUAAAGUGGUGGUUGCCUUAUAUUUUAUUAUAUGAAUAUGUAGUUUAUCCAAGUAUUUAUUUCAAUCGAAAAAUAAUAUUAUUUCGAAACGGUUUUGGUUCUCAAGUUUUGUUCUAAAUUCACACCCCUCUCUUGCUGCUGAAAACUCAAUGGCGUGCAACUUUCACCACCUCACCCAAACUAUCCGACUCUCUUUCCCACCUCUUCACAAUUUCAAAGCUUCUGAUGCUUUUACGAAUAAGAGUUUAAUUAUCACAUUUCCAGUACGUUUCUCUUUUCACAGCUCAGCAAAAUUAACUACUCCUAUUCGCUCUUUACCAGUCGCCACCGCUGGCAUUAGCUACAGAAGCAGCUGUACCUUCACUUGGGACGACGUCGUUCGAGUUUCUCAACCAGAAUACUCCCCUGACGAUUCUUCCGAUCUCCGUGGCUACUUCGAGAAAAUCAAAAUCUGCAAUCGUGGCUCAGUUACUAUUUCAAAUUCCUCAUCAAACAAAUAAAUUUUGCAACCUUUAUUUUGCUACACUUAAUUCAUUUUCUUAUCUUUUAAUUAUUAUUAUUAUCAUUAUUUUGUUUUAGGAAAUGCAAUCCGAGUUUUUUCCUUUUAUCAUCGAGGACCAAGUUGUUGGUUACACACAUAAUCGGUACAAUUUCUCUAUCCUCAUAAUACAAAGUAGAUUAUGUCUAUUUAUUGCUAUGACUUAGUUAUGGUGUAAUUGUAGUACCAUACCACAGUUGCUUUCACCCAUUAGAUAUAACCAUUAGAUUUAAAAAUAAGAGAUUAAAUGACUAAAAGCAACUAUGGUAUGAUAUCACAAUUGCACCAUAGCUGUUGUUAAGGAUUUUAAAUUUUGAAUAAUUUUUUUUUUGAGAAAUUAUUAUUGCAUCAUCUCUAUUUUACAUUAUAUUCAUCCAACUACUAUAAAAUUUUAACAUAUUUUCUACACCACUUUUCUUUUUAAAUUUGUAUCAAUUAGUCAUUUUUGUAUUAACACCGUUAAAUAAUUUUAAUGAAAUGACAAGUUUACCCCUAAAUAAAUUAAAAAACUAUUUUAUUUUAUAAAAACUUUGAAAAAUAAAAAAAAAUGUAAUUAUAGAAAUAUCCUAAUUUAAUAAAAAUAAAUCCCAAAAUUAGAAUUUUUAUUUUUUAUAAAAAUUAUUUUAAUAAAAAAUAAUUGCAAAAGUUUGGAAUUUAAUAAAAAUAUCCUAAAUUAUUAAAAUCUUGGGAUUUAUUUUUUAAUAAAUAAAUUCAGUUAUUUUAAUAAAAUUUUGUAACAUUAUAAUUUUUUAAUAAAUAAAUUUAUUUUUUUAUUAAAAUUUUACAAAAUUAUAAUUUUUUAAUGAAAAUAAUAUUAAAAUUUUGCAAAAUCUAAAUUUAAUAAAAAUCAUAUGAGCACCUCUAUUUGUGAUUUAUUUUUAUUAAAUUUAGAGGUAUUUUUAUAAUUAUAAAAUUUUUUAUUUUUCAAAGUUUUAUAAGAUAAAAUAGUAUUUUAAUUUAUUUAGGGGUAAAAUUAUUAUUUUAUUUAAAUGAUUUAACGGUGUUUAGUGCAAAAGUGGCUAAUUGAUACCAUUUAGAAAGAAAGAUAGUGCAGAAAACAUUAGACUUGGCAAAACCCCGGGUCCGGUUCGGUCUGGGUUUGGUACUGCCCAAUGCCAGAUCGGAUGAGUGAAAUGGCUGCCCGGACACGGGUUUACGCCCGGUUUUUAUGUGUGGGCCAGGUUCAAGCCGGAACCUCCAAGGUCCUGGUUUUUUAUCCGGGCUUCUAAGCCCGCAUGUGAAUUAACAGAUAAUAUACUAAUGUAAAUACAAAUUUUACACAAAUAAUAAAUAAAAUUUACUUCAAUCUACUUUCUACUACCUAAAUUCAUCCAAUUUCUAAGCUAAACUCAUUCAAUAUAUAUCAAAAAAAUUUAAAUUCAACAACACAAUAAUCACCAAAUAAAUCUAAAUAACAUCCAACAUAUCAUAAGUUCAUAAUUAUAAUACCAAUUACCAAUACAACAUAUGAAAAUCCUAAAAUGUUCAACAACUCAAAAUAUAAUUCAUAAAAGAGUCAAAAUACUCUCAUUUGAAAUACUCGAGCAUAGCAUAUUAGCAUCCAAAAAAAAAAUACAAAGGAUAAAUACCAAAUAAUCAUAAUAAUUUCAUCAUUUUUUUAACUAAAUCGAAAAAUUAUAUGAAAGGCAAAAUUAAGAAGCAAAAAAUCAAUAGUCGGGGCUAUGGCUGAGGCUGAGUGGCUGACCAGCUGUGAUGGGCUGAUGGUAGAGUGAUGGUGGUUGAGAAAGUGGAGAUGGUGGCUGUGACGGCCAACGGGCUGACGACGGUAGAGGUCGCACAACUCACUGUUGUUGGAGAUGGAGCAACCGAACAAAACUGCGUGCCAAGCCAAGUCAGCAACCGAGAAGAGAUGAUCCCGACGGGUGACAGUGGGUGGUGGUUAUUGUUAGGUUGGAGUGUUGGAGGCGUGAGCUGCACGGCAGCAUUGCUGCUUAAGCUUUUCAAACUGUCGAUAAGGAUUAGGGAAUUAGGGAUUUGGCAAUUUGGGUUGGGUACUUGGGUAUCUAGGCUUUUGGUAUUGAGCCCGGAACCGUGCUCGGAAAUGUCCAAGUUUGAGAAUUUCAUGCCCGGAUCCCUUUUUUUAGUGUAUGCGGUUUGGGUUUUGUUCGGACCGGAUUAGCCAAGUCUGGUUUGAAUCUGGCAUGAGCGGGCAUUUUUGACACCUCUAGAAAAUAUGUUAAAAUUGUGUGGUGAUUAAAUGAAUAUAAGGCAAAAUAGUGUUGGUUAUUGGUACAAUGAUAAUUAUACUAUUUUUUUUUUUCCUUUUUUGAAUCUGAGCAGUUUCGCUAGCCACCUAAGGAAAUACGACGACGUAUUCAUUUACUCUGAGAACAACGGAGGUCGAUUUGGCAGUCACGUGAAGUUAAAUUCAAAGCUGAAAACAGCCGAUGAGAGGACGAGAGUUGUUGGAGAAGUGAUUAAAUGCUUGGCCGAAGAAGAAUUGAUUCCAGAUAUACAAAAUGAGGUACUGCUAGCUUUACUUUUGAUGCUUAUAUAGGAAUUGAAUAGAUUUUCUUUCACUUUUGAAUACAUGCUUCGUGCUUCUGACUAUGUCCAUAUAAUGUGUAAUUUCUAAUUGAUAUUUGAUUUUUUUGAGAUUGAUUCAUUUUGGAUUUCAUUGGUUUAUAAUCAGCUCUAUCCUGUAGCGUCAACCUUUGGUUCUCCGAUCUUCUUCUCGCUGGAUCGUGCCGCUGCUCCUUACUUUGGGAUAAAGGUGAGUUCAUGACUUUUGCUUUGCAUCAAUGAUCUUGUAUUAUUUUUUGUGGAAAAGAAGCUUAGACACGUUGUGCAUAAAGUUUGAGAUACAAUAAGUUAUUGAUUAUGAGAUGUUUAUUGCGGAUAUGAUCACACGAAACAGUUGUCUUAUUGAGUGUCUAUGAUUGGAUCUAGUCACUGUCGAACUUUGUCUAUUUUAUUACUUUGUAUAUUACUUUGCUUUCUGGUAAAUGAAUGAAUAAUAAUUUAUUUGGCUAUUGAUGGUUAUAUGGCUGAUCCUUUCUUCCUGAAUUUGAAAAUAGGCUUAUGCAGUUCCCUUGAAUGGUUAUGUUGAAAAAGAUGGGCAAAAAUUUCUGUGGAUUGGAAAACGAAGUCAAGUCAAAUCUACUUAUCCAGGAAUGCUUGAUAUUCUAGCUGGUGGAGGAUUGGUUUGUAAUAGUAACCUUUCAUUGCUUUUCUUAGGUUUAUAGUAUUGGAUUCUCCUUUUGAAUUGUAUUGAGUUUACUUUUGUUUCGAAAAACACUAAAGUCGUCAGCUGAUUCUCCUAAGUCCUUUUUGUGAUCGGACAAAAGUGCCAAACAUGUAUUGCAUCGGUAGGGCACAGCUGGAUCCUCAUAUACUUGAAAUUCACUGAUGACCUUCUUUUGAAAUUGGAAUAGGUUGCUUACUAAGAAAUAGAUUAAUAAGGUUUUUCUUCGGCAGAUGACUCCAAUAUGACUGCAGUUGAUUAUUGUAACAAGAUUGACUUCUGAAGUGCUACUAAGGCUUAAAAAUCAAUUAGUUCUUAGAAAUUCUCAAAAUAGUAGGAAGAAGGCACGACAUUACCCAAUGGUUGUUUGUCAUUCUGAUUUAGCUUUAUGCUUUGCUUCUAGAAUAAGAGGGAAGAGGCAAAAGGUCAUUCUGAAAAAUGCCAUUUCUAUGGUGCCAUUUAUAAAGCAUGCAAGCAAAAACGUAGGGGGCAAGAGAAACUUUGCGGACAUUUGUUUCUUGGUUAUUUUUCGGUUGGACUGAUUUAUCUCUUUACUAGCUAUAUAUGUGUUAAAGUUUAAACUGAGUGGUUUGGGCAGCUUGCAAAUAUUUGUCCAUGUUAGUUUGUAAUGAGAAAAUGAUCUUGAAAAGCCUUUAGUGAACAUGGAAACUUGAGCUCAGAACAAAUAUCACGUGGGCAGCAAACCCUGUGCAAUUGGAAAACAUUAGGCGUUCCUCCUUGUUGCAAUACUUGGAGAUUCCAGUUCAGUUGCUGCAAUUGGACAAUAGAAUUUAUAAUAGUGAAAACCAAGGAUUCAUUUCAUUUAAAAAUGUGUUCUCUAAUCUUUAUGCUCAGUUAUCCGAGCCAACUCUUCAUCUAUAUAAUUGUGAUGGUGAUUGCAGCCCCAUGGUAUUGCUUGUGGGGAGAAUAUUAUCAAGGAAUGUGAAGAGGAAGCGGGAAUCCCUAGAUCCAUAUCCAAUAGGUAAGAUUUCCUCAUGCCACAUUGAUUCUAAAUUUUAGGAUUAAUUGUAUUAACUAUAUUAUAUUGGCUAAAAAUGUGAACUUUGCUAAAGUUCCACUCCACAUGUCAACAUUCUGAUUAAACCAUGCUUCUUUUGUGGAUGAUUGGUUGUACUAAUGGGUCCAGAUAUACAUCUUUCACAGAGCUAGACCAGUGGGAGCUGUUUCCUAUACGGACAUUAAUGGGUUUAGUUACAAAAGAGAUGUUCUAUUUUGUUAUGAUUUGAAGCUACCUGAAGAUUUUGUUCCUAUGAAUCAAGGUAACUGUAUUAAAGCUUGAUCACACUGACGCUCAUUUUCUUCCUUCGUGAGAACAAGGUAUAAAAGCAAUGUUUCUUGAUCUACAAACUAAUUUUAGCAUUCCUACUGUUAAAUAUUUGUACAUUUCAAUCUAUAACAUACAUCUGCUGCAGUUUUAGAAGAGAAUUAUAUCUAUUCAUUGUAAUAGCUUUUAUUAAACAUGUUGCAGACGGAGAGGUAGAAAGCUUCCAGUUGAUCCCUGUGGCACAUGUUGCAAAUGUCAUACGGAGAACAGAGUUCUUCAAGCCAAAUUGCUCCCUAGCCAUCAUUGAUUUCUUGUUUCGACAUGGGUAUUAGCACUUUUCUUGAUUGCUUCUUGUAUCUCUCUCAGUUUGAGACUUUCAGUAAUCAGUUAAAAAGAUUAAAAUAAAGAAAGAAAUAAAACUAGCAUAUGUGACAGCCGUAUGAAAAAUAAAUAAAUAAAUAGAAAGCAUAAUCACUUCUUUCUUUCUUUUUUAAUUAACUGUCAAGUUGUGGCAAUGGUUGCUACUUUUCUUAUGAUAGUGGACUCUCCUGCCCAGUAGAAAUGAUAAAAGCAAUGGUGUGUAAUUGUAAUGAAUCUUAAAUAUUUGCUCUCCACUACUGAUAUUCCCAUGUGUUUCUCUUUAGUUUUAGGAAUCUUUUAGAUGUCUUUGGGUUUUCUUUUUCAUGAUUUCAUACAUUUAUCAUUUAUGCUGAUUAAAAUUGUUACAUAUUAGGCUUGGCAAAUUGCUCCAGGAUUUUAUUUCUGACACUCAUAUGCACUUCCAACAAUUUCAAUGAAUCUCGAGAUAUCUCUUUGAUUUUUCUUGUAAUGUCCAUACAUUGAUGCUGGUUGAUAUUAGAUAUAUUUGAUGGGAUUCAUGCUCAAAAGGCGUUGUUGUAGUUCCUUUGCUAUUAUGAAAAAUUCAGCUAUAGCAUAUCAAUCCAUCCCAGUUUGAUUCUAAUCUUUUACCAUAAUGCUGCAACUUGUAGGUACAUUCGUCCUGAAUAUUUUGGAUACUUGGAUCUACUACAGAGUUUGAGAAGGGGAGACUUCUCCUAAUUAUUUGUCUUCGUGCCUGUCUUUUUUUUUUUUUUUUAAUCCUCCAAAUAAAUUGGAUUGACUGAAUGACAACUGGUGUUAAUUAAAAGCUUUAUUUUCCUGUCGCGAAAGAUAUAAUUUGGGCAUUACACGAAUUGGUUUUAAGAUAUAGCUUCGUGCGCAAAGAUUGAGAUAUGGUGAAAUCAUAGUUCUUAAAAUGAGACUUCUGAAUGAAACUAAACACAUAAUAUGUAAUUUAGGGUUAAAAAAAAAAAAAAAAACUGGAAUUUACCCCGGCUAUACCCGGAAUCUUGGCUAUUAAUCUAGUUAUGCCCUCGUACUUCGAAAUUAUCAUAAUAUGCCUUUAGAGAUGAGUAAUGUCUAAAUUACCCUCAAAUAUCUCCAAUUACAGACGCGUUGCUGAGUACUCAACUGGCCUCGUUCUUCUCCUUCAUGAGAUUUGUUCAUCCUCCACUUUGUCAUUGAAUUUCUUCUCCGUUGGCCGCAAUAGCUUCAUCGAGAUUACCCUUAUCAACCAGAAUAAUUUCUCUCUUGUUGGUGGUGACCUAAACAAUUAAGUAUAGGUCAUAGUUAUGACGAAAAUGAAGGGCCAGAAUUCACAUGAAUUAUGCUUAAUUACCAUGGCUGCUAACUAGGCCAAAAUUAUCAUGACAAGAUCAACAGAAAGAUAAACAUAGAAGAACUGUCAGAUGCGCAAUGUUAUAUGUGUCAUUCCAUGUACCUGAAAGAUGAUUGCUUAUUCAUAAAAAAUUGUCCAAAUAGAAAAUGCAAAAAUUGAAGAAUCCCAACCUAAUCUGGUAUUAGCCAUUGUGCCCACCAAUUAGACUUACAUCUGAAUGAUGCUCAGAUUUAUCACUAUAAAUACCAAAGCUUACAGAAUCUUGAAUGCUUAAGUGAUAACCAGUAGGCUUUUUUUUUUUUUUCUCUUUUUAAUAAGAAUUACCAUAUGUUUGCUUUAUAUAUUGCCUUGGGAUGAUAAUGUCCAUCAACAAAUUGAUAUCCAGUUCCAUCCAUAUGGACAUGUAGAUCUUCUUACUCUGUACCAGAAUAUCUGUGGAAAGUAAGUAGAAUAAAUUCAAGACCCAAAGUUUUACUCUCUAGGCUCUGGUUUGGUUAAGUCAUAUAAUUUUCGGAGAAUACCACAUGUACCAAAAGCAACCCUGUCAAGUAAACUCCUCUAUUUACAUUUCAAUGAAACCACAUAAUUGAUCUAUACAGGGAAAACUGAUAGAAUUACCUCUGCUGUGCAGGAAAAUAAUAAAGAAGACGGCCUUUGUGACACCGGGAGCGAAGAAGUAUUUGUUCAAGGCCCUCAUUCUCUUUCAUUUUCAUUCCUUUACAUACUGCUCAAGAGCUCAUAAAAAAUAUUGUAAGGGUCUUAUUCAGCCACAUAUACAUAAAUAAUUCUAGAUUGUGAAAAAGUUGAAACUAUUUACUUUUAAGGAAUGAAGCAUGCAUCGACAAUGUAGUUAGUUGAGACUCAUGAAUCCUCAUUUUAAAUCCAGUGAGAAACAUUUCCCAAAACUAAGAAAAUUAUUUUUCUACUUCCAAGAAAUCCUUUGAAUACUUCUACAGAAUGAUAAGUAUUUUUCAGGGCAAAAAGACAUGCACCCAUAGUCAGCUGUUAGUAUAACAUAUCUAAAAUAGAGCCUAGAAAUCACAAUAAUCAUUUCCAAUGUAUGUAAAAGCCACAGUGUCAUGCCUAAGGAAGUACCAUUUUGGUCGCAGUCAUAUGCCAACAUCAACCCGACAUCUACAAUCAGCUUUCCAAGGGCUUUGAAAGCUAGACACCAACAAUUAACCUUCAGUAAAUGUAGAAAAUAAUUGAAAAGUGAAUUUGAAAAAUAAAUAAAUGAAUAAAAAAUCCAACAUAGACGAAAACUGUGAAAGGAACACAAGAAGAUGAGAGUGGAAGACAAGUGUAGCACCAAACAAGAAUUUCACUCCCACUUAUAGCUUCAUUUUCGAAAAAAUUGGCGGAGACUCGUACCAAAAGAUUAGAUUACUCUGAAAAUAUGCUCAUAUAAAGGAAAAAUAACGAAACCAAUAUCUGCUUCAAAAAUCGGCUGAAACUACUGUCAGUUUAAAACAACUAUUCCGAUAUAGAAUAGAAGUUGACAAUGUAAAAAAAGUGUAGACUGCAUACAAAGAAGUUUCUUCCCGGCAGUACACACUUGCGCUCACACAAAGACACAAAAAUAGAGAAGCAUAAAUUUGUUUAACUGUUUAAAUACAAGCUCUCAGAUCAUGAAUCCAAGAAAUCACAUAACUAUGAUAAACAAACCUCUCAAGAGACAAUUUCCAGCAAGCAGAACAAGUCUCUCUUAAAAGCCAAUGAAGGAAUAGAGUAAUAUUUUGUGAGAAUACCCACUCAAGUUCUGGCAGUGCACUAUGAGGCCAUAUAUUCGAACCACAAUAUGAUGGAUACCUAAAAGACAGACAACGAGAAAUAAAUAAAGCAACUAACCACAUCAAGAUUUUGCAUAUCUAAUCUAAAUAUGAGCAAAUGAACAUAGGAUGUAUAUAACACAUAUCUUUCAAAAGUAAAAAAUUCAUCCCAGCAAAUAUAUUAUAGUCUUCCAAAGAAUGUAUCAUAUGAAGAUAGAUAUAACACAAAUUUUUGUUAUCCACUUUAUCCACACACUAACAAUCAAUUUUGCCUGCCAUAAAAUCUCCAGGAACAAGGGAAUGACAGUCAACAGUACGAGCACUUGAAAUGCUGUUAAUAUCUUUUACAUUUUUAUUAAAUGGGUCUCUGUUGUAGGCACGUCUAACAAUGGAUUCGCAUAGAAGGAGCCCUUCAACAUAUCUGCACAAGAUUAGAAUUAAAAAGGUUAAGACCCUACUAGCGGGCAUAAACUGACAUGAGAAAUAUAAAAAAUAAUCAUACUAAGGCAUAGAACACCAACACUUCCUAAUAAUACGUAUCAACAUGAACCAUAUCCGAAGGUAAACAAAGAUAAUAUUGCAUUAUAACUGCAGUCUUGUCUAGCUGCCAGUGUUCAAUCCAUUUUAUGUUUCAAAAUUCCUCAAAACUUCAAAUGACUCCAUCCCUCCAUGUCCAAACAUAGGAACUCCCACUCUAUUCAAUCAUUUACAUAAAUAUCAUGGGAACGUGAAUUCUGAAAAAUAUACAGACUGCUCAUAUUAUGCCGUAUUUUAUUGAUUGCAAUAAUCACACAACAGGUGAAAUAUCUGAAAAUUGAAAUCAGCUUGGCCUGUGUUAGAACAAGAUGACCAAACUCAAGAACCUACAUCCGAAGUUUUACCUACAGACAGAGAGUGAGCGGAAGAAACAAAGAGUUAAAGCACCUCAUAUACUGUGAGAUUAUGAACUCGGAAAUAUAUUUCAAUUCCAAUGCAAGAAUACCACGCCUUCCACAAACAAAAUCACCAGAAAAAAGGUUCUAGUUGUUUUCAACUGAUUUUGGGGUAAGAAAAACCAAACCAAUCUAGAACAAUAAAUUUGUUAUUUUGAGGGGAGAUGGGGUACCUCACUGGUUUAUUGUGUGUUGGGCGGUGUAUCUGAAAUUCGUGGGAGGUGAGAAGGGGAGAGAGAGUGGUAACAAUGGUGGAAGGUCAGAAACAAGAGAUGUGUCCUUCAAAACGAGCUUCACGCCUGCAAAACAGUGAAAUAGAGGUUAGAGGUGAAGCCGGGGUACCCCGGCGUUCACACUUCGACGCUCAAGUUAGCAAACUCAAGCUUUUAUGGCAAAGAGAGCUAGCUAGCCCUCUGUAAAUUAGGGUUUAAGGUUGAAGAAAACCUAUUUUUUGGAAUGUGAGUGUUCAUGGUGAGUGAGAACAUCCUGGAGAAUGAAACAUAGGCACCUUUAUAUAUGGAGUACCUCAGCUGCCACGUGGCGUAUCCUUUUUGGCUAACGUCCUUUUACCUUUUUAUGAUUUUUGGGCCGUUAUGUGCAUGUUCGCGGCAUAUCUCACCCUUUGGAAACGUGGCGCGCGCUGGAGAGUGGUCCAGGGUACCUCUGCAGUAACUGUCGGGUAGGCGGCUGAGGACCACUGUCCUUGGGACAGUGUCCUUCACUUUUGGCAGAGGUAGCAGGCGGCUGUCCCCCCCUUUUGGUACGACGUUCUUGAUUCCUAAUUCUGACAAAAUCGAAUAAUAUCUUUUAGGAGGUGGAGACGUUUCUCAUGGCGGAUAUUUUCGGAGGAUUCUCUUGCAUCUGAUCUGCCGGGUACCUCGAGUUACGUGGGGUACCUCAAUUUAUGUGGGGUACCCUUAAUUGUGCGGGGUACCUCUAUUUGUGUGGGGUACCUCGUAUCAUGUGGGGUACCUCUAUUUGUGCGGGGUACCUCUAAUCAAGCAGGGUACUUUUAAUUACGUCGGGUACCUCUAAUUGCGCGGGGUACCUCUAAUCAGGCCGGGUACCUCUAAUCAUGCGGGGUACCUCUAAUCAGGCCGGGUACCUCUAAUCACGCAGAGUACCUCUAAUCAUGCGGGGUACCUCUAAUCAAGCCGGGUACCUCUAAUUACGCCGGGUACCUCUAAUCAUGCGGGGUACCUCUAAUCAGGCCGGGUACCUCGAAUUAUACGGGGUAUCCCAGUCUAUGCGGGGUACCUCGAGUUACUCUGGAGUUAUGCGGGGUACCUCUGACCGUGUCAGGUACCUCAAAUCAUGGCAGGUACCUCUAAUCGUGCGGGGUACCUCUAAUCAUGUCGGGUACCUCGGAUUGCACUGAAGUUAUUCCAUUCGUCGACACGUGGCGUUCUGCUAUCUUUCUUAUUUUUCCCCCAAACACUAGUUAUUGAUGAUAAACACAGUACUUCCACGGGCUGCAGGCCAUGCUAAGUAUUGCUGUUAACAGCUUUAGGUAGGAUUUAAGGAAAAUAUACUGUUUACUUUUUUCAUCAAAUAGAAAAUAUGGGACAUGACCAUAUGAGGAAAGAGAUACUUGGGUAAGGCCAUGCUAAUCAUCUAUGCGAUCAAAAGACCUAACGAUCACAGAGGAUAAAUGGCUAAACUCCAUCACCUGAGUUAAGUAGCAUAUGAUGCACUCACGAGGAGGACAUAACCAUGUGAAGACAACAUUAUUCUACUGGUAUGGCUAUCAAGGUUGGUGAGUAGAACUCUGAAUGGCAUUAUCAUAUGUGUCAGGACCUUCUGGAAUCAAUAAAGAGUUCAACUGACAUAAUACCUUUCGAGUAAGAAAUGAAAUCGUUAAGUACCAAUAAGGUGAAAGUUUAUCUUUUCAAAACAAGUCUAAGGAACCCAAUUGGUAUAAAGGGAAUAUAGAUAUAAUAAGAUCCUUCCCACAUAAGCCUAGAGCUAUCCAGAGCAAUUUAACAAACCUCUAUGCUAAGUGGAGGCCAAAGACACAUCCAAAGCAACCAAAAUAAGCCAUCAAAGGGAAUAAAGUAAAUAAAAGAAGAUGAACAGUGAAAUCAAACAACAAUACAGGAGCUAGGGGAAAGUAGAAUCAGACCUACUGUGAUGAUCUUCAAGAUCCUUCUUCACAUCUUCAGGAAGGUUAGCUAAUCUGAUAAAACAGAAUCUUGUGAACAACUUAUGUAAAAGUUACUUGUCCUAAAUAAUAUCUACCCGCAAGCUCAACCUGAGCAUUGAAAAUCUAGUUCGAAUCUUAUACCUAGGUGCAAGAUGCAGGAGAUUUUGACGCAGUGAAGAAAAUCCAGGAACCUAAAACAAAAACAGGUCAACUUCAAACAGGUAAUACAAGCAUAUUGAAAGCAAAAUGACUGACUAAUUCCUGAACAAAGACACUAGUUGUCCAAAUUUCAAAUGUAAAGACACAUACAAAAUACAUAAAUAUAGAGGGGGAACAAAAAGAGUUUCAAAAAUGGGAAGGGGACUUCAUCAAACUUGCUACUCCAUUUUGUGUUACACAUUGCCACAGGUUUCAUCAUAUUCAAAAGUUAUACUCGUUAUACCAUACUUGGCAAUGAAACUAUACAAAGCCAAUGGGCAUCUCAGUUCCGAUUAUGUACUUAAAGUUCACAUGUCCACAAAAACUUGGGCAUUGUGGAUGGUUGUUCGCCAGUCAUAACUUUGAAGUUGGGUAAAGACAAACUGGUAAGAGUAAUAUAAAUUUUUCAUCAAACAGCUGUGGGUUAAAAUCAACUUAGCUUUCAAAAGUCAGAAGAAAAUUGAAAUGUUUACCAGAAACUAAAGCUACUUUGCUUUGAAAGCACAGCUGUUAAACAACAAUACCAAACGGGGCCUUAAAUGACCUAUUAAUCUUCCAAUGUUCUUUCACAAGUUAACACAGAGUGACAAUAAUUGUCAGGAUAUAUCAAAUUCAGGUAUCGCUAUAAUGAUAUUCCGCUUAAAUUUCAGUAUCAGUUAUUUGUCAGCCAAACAGAACAUUGAAAGACUAAAAUAUGAUCAAGUAUAUACAUAUGUGCAAGUGCAACAAAAUGGACAAAUAUAUAUGAAAAGAAAAAAAUAGAAAAUUCAACUGCAAAAUUUAUUUCAUACGUCUGUAACAGAUAGAAUUCCGAGACCGUUGGGUCCAAACCCUUGUUCAAUCUUCAUCGACAAGUCAGCAUUCUUGUCCUGUUUCAAUCAAUUCAAACAACCGCCAGUAAAUUUCAAACACGUGUGUUUCACACUAGCAUACGCAGCAAGACUUUGAGAACUAACGUCCGAAGGUGAGUUGCGUAAGUCGUUUCGUUCCUAUUCGCCGUCGUUCCCGCUAAACAUUACAAAUUUAUAAUUCCCCGCAAUUAAAAUUACAAAAAAAUAUUCACAAAAAGACAAGAAAAAAGUGAUUUAUACAGUUAAAGCUAUUAUUUUAAUAUAAAAACCAUCAUCUAAUUCCCUAACUUUUCUUCUUUUAGUGUAAUACCAAAAAAAUAUAAAUUUCGGAUUAUCCUGGAUUACGUUUAAGUUACCUUUUACAUUUAAAAGCUUUAAAUUAUUUUACUUUUUGUUUUAAAAAUAAAGAGCAAAUAAUUGUAUAUUGACAAAAAUUAUUUUGUCUUCUUAACAAAAAGUAUGCCAUAUUUAGAUUUAAAAGUAAAUAAGCGAUUUAAAAAUAGCAAUUUUAAUAUAAUAAUUCUUUUAUUCAUUAAACGAGAGAAAUUUCAGCUUGACUCCUCGUGUCUGUUUUGCUAAUUUACGAUCUUUACUAGUUGAACUAAUUAGUAGAAUGGCAAUGUGUGUCACCAUAUAAAAAUGAAAUAAAUUUUUGGGUUAUUAUCAUUUUACUACUUUAAAAAUUGUCAAAUAUCAAAUGAUUAUAACAAAUAUUGUCUCCUAUCAUUUUCCUACUAUAUCUUUAUAAAAAUAUCAUUUUACUACUUUUUCGUUACAACAAAUAUCAUUUUACUACUUUUCCGUUACAACCGUUAGUUGACUCGUUAGUUUACCAGUUAGUUGACUAACAAAAUACUAAUUUUACCUUUCAUGAUUAAAAAUAAUAAUAAGACAAAUUUGUAAUCCAUAUAUCAUAAUUCCAUAAAAAAGAAUUAUGUUGGUAUUAUAUAUUCAUUUUAAUAAAUAUAUUACAAAUUUAUUUUGUAAAUAAGUUUCAAGUAUUUUUUUUUUUAAUCAUGAAAGGUGAAAUUGGUAUUUUGUUAGUCAACUAACUGGUCAACUAACGGUUAUAACAAAAAAAGUAGCAAAAUGAUAUUUUUAUAAAGAUAUAGUAGGAAAAAUGAUAGGAGAUAAUACUUGUUUUAGUCAUUUGAUAUUUGACAAUUUUUUAAGUAGUGAAAUGAUAAUAACCCUAAAUUUUUUUAUGAUUGAAUUGAUAUAAUCUGACUUAUUAAUAAUCUUAUAUUUAAUAUUAUUUGUGUUGAAUUGUUUAUUGGUGUCAUAUAUGUUUUCUCAAUUCAUUUUAUAACCAAUUUAACAAUAAUUUUGAUAUAUUUAUUAUGUAUUAAAUUCAUCUUUAUUUUUUAGUAGAAAAAUGACCGAACAACUUUUUAGCCUCUUUUUCCUUAGCUUUUAGUUAUUUGAUUCCUAAAAAAAUAGGCGUAAAUGUUAUAUUUUGAUUCUACCCAUCCCUAGGUUUUUCUUUCUUAUUAAGGGGCAAAACUAUCUUACCCCCGAUGCAACGAACACCAUUUUGGUAUUUUCUUUAGCAGUCCCUAUAGUUUUCUGUAAAUAAUAAAAACUAUAAGUUUUAAAAAUUUUAUACAAUAAGCCCCAAUUAAAAUAUAAUAAUUUCAAAAUUCUAAACAAUUUAUUGGGCAUUUUCUUCAACAAUCCCUAUUGCUUUCUGUAAAUAAUAAAAACUAUAAUUUUUAAUAAUUUUAUGUAAUAAACCCAAUUAAAAUAUAAUAACUUUAAAAUUCUAAAAAAAAUUAUCUCUCUAUCUCCUUCUCAAUCAAUUUUAAAUUUAAUUUUCAUUCUUUAUAAUUUUAAAUUUAAGUAAUAGAAUAAAUAUUAUAUAAUUUAUUUGUUUUUAUAUUAAAUAAACAAUUGAUCGGCUUCAUACGUGGGAUAAAGUAUAAGUAAUUUUACAUAAUCUCAAAUUUACUCAUAGAAAUUUAUUAUUUUGAAAAUAUUAUUUAUAAACUCUAUAAUGAAUUUAAAUGACUAUCCAAGCAUUUAUUUAAUAUUUAUUUAUUUUUCAUUUUAAUAUUGUCAAAAUUUAUAUAAACCUUAUCUAAUUUUAUGUUACACUAAAUACAAAAUAGUAUUAUUAAAUAUAAUUGGUAUUUUAAGUAAAUGGAAGUGGAGAGUAUUUUAGCAAGUUAAAAUAAUCCAUCCAUAUUUUUAAUAUAUAAAUAUGUUCAUUUAUUGAAUUACUUUUGAUAAUAAAAUAUUUAACGGACCAAUGUGUCAAAAUUUUAAAAUUUAAUCUUUUCUUAUUCUUUUAGUAAACAUAAGGGACCACAUCGUUAAUAACCAAAUGAUAACAUCUUAGCCAUUAGAAUAGCCUUUGCAACUCAUGGGUUGGAUCCAAUAAUUGGAUCACAAAAAGACAAAAAAAAAAAAGGUAUGAAACAGCAGUUGUAUUGUAGCCGAACCCUAACUUAAGCAUAUAUUGAAAGUCGAAUUGAACUCUAAGACUAAGACCUUUUUUUUUUUAGGAGAACUAUUGCUCAUGAUAUCUACAACCAUACAAAUUACUGAGAUCAGUUUAUAUGAACUUUAAUAUGACACCGCUCAGAUUUUCUUAACCCUCUUAAAUAUUCGAGGGACGUCCAACUCCCCUCCUGAGAGAAAAAUUAUCUUCACUCAAGCUCUGGAGUUCCAAGGAAAGAUAUUUAAAUUAAACUCCUGCAAUACAUCCGCGGGGGCUCGAAGCACUUCCCUCACACUUGUGAGGGAGUGACUCUAACCACUUGGGCCAAGUCCUAGUGGUUCUAAGACUAAGGUGGCGUUUGUUUUUUCGUCUGAAAUCUGAAUAGACCUGAAUUAGUCUGAAUUCUGAAUAGGUCUGAAUGUCUGAAUCUGAAUAAUAUGUUUGUUUUUUCGUCUGAAUCUCGGAAAAUAAGUAUUAAGUUGUUUGUUUUUUUCAACUUAAAAAGCUGAAAAUAUGUACUUUUACAUUUGUAUCCUUAUUAAAUUUGAAUGUCAAAUAAAUAAUAUAUUAAAUACCAUAAUAUUUUAACAUUUAUAAGUAAAACUAUAUUCAAGUGAAUACAUAAUUAUUUUGGAAUUUUAAUAUAUAAAAUACCAUAAAUUUCAAAUUUUAUUGUAUAUAAUAUAAGAAAGAAAAAAUAGGGAUAUUUUUAUGUGAGGUAAAUAUCUAUGGGUGAGUUUUGGGAUAGACAUGAAAAAUAAAUUAUAAAACAGGGAUAUUUUUGACAUUAGCAAGCAAUUGACUUAAUUCAUAUUUCUCCAUUAAGUAAAAAGCCAAAAAAAUUAGCUUAUUUUAUUAAGUCAAAAUUAUCUAAAAAGUCUCAUUAAGUUAUAAAAACAAACACCUCUAAUUAACUUAAUUAAUUAAGUUAAGUCACUUUAAGUCAUUAAGUUAAAAAACAAACACCACCUAAGACUUUAAAUCUUAGGAAAACAACUUUUUAUGCGCAUACUCAACCCUACAUUUUAAAAAGCACAACUAUACACAUUUAAAAAAAAAAACAUUAACCAUUAAUACUAAAUCUCAGUGACAUAUACGAUCAAGGAAGAAAAAUGAUGGGAUGUGAUUAUAUGAACAGUUGAACAUGUUCAUAAUUGACAUGAUCUGUGUCAUUCAUUUAUAUUUUAUUGCUUUCUACUAUAAUAUGGUUGAUGCUACAAUGCCGGGCACUGAAGGCCCGGCACCAUGCCAAAAAUGAAAAAAACCAUUGGAUUCAAUCUAAUUGAAUCCAACGGUUGAGAUUAAAUUUAUAUUAAAAAUAGAAAAAAAAUGGGUGACCUAGUAAACCAGUUCCCUGAAAGGAAAAUCCCACAAUUUCCUCUCACUUCAAUCCGAUUUCUUUGCUUUCUCAAAAGAAAAAUCCCUAAAAUUUCAUCUCUUUUUCAAGUUCAUAGUUUCUCUCAUCCCAAUUUUUUCACUCAACAAGAUCAAAUCCACGGUCUCUCUCCACUAAUCAACCAAUCGGAUCCAUCUACUCACGUAUUUUGUUUGUAUACGAGAGGUAGAGAGAGGCAGAGGCAGAGCCAAAUAUCGCGCGUUGCUUCUUUUCCAACCGUCCACUGUUACCUUCGUUGCAAUGUUGUCUACAACAUGAACUGCCAUCGAAUGAGCUGCAUGAAGCUUUUAGGGUGGCGUAUCCUGGAAUGGAACCAAAAAAAGAGUUGAGGUUUAUGUUUGGAGUCAUUCUUGGACAGGAAGAACAGCGCGAAUGAGUUGCAGGAAGAGCAGUUUGGCUCGAGGUAACUCUUCUGUUCUCGUCAUGUAAAUGACCUAGUGUUGUGAUGCGUACUAGUAAGCCCUAGUUUUUUUAUUAUCUUUGAUCAUUUUGCAUUUCCUCACUUGUAUUCUCGAGAUUUUUAUAUGUUUAUGAGUUAUGUUUAUUUGAGUCCCAACGACAUCCAUCGGUUUUUUUAUAUUUAUCAUCAAGGAGAGGUGAAAUUAUUAUUUAAUGACUAGUAUUUUGUAUAUCACUAGCAUUAUUCUUAAUUUUUUGUGAUUUUGCUUUUUAAUUUGUUUAAUUGGGUGUAGCCAUUAUAUUGUGCCUGAAUUGGUAGUUGACGUGAACUAAUCUUAUGCAUCUUGCAAGGCUAUUCAAGAGUAUAUGAAGGGAAAAUCUCUAAGUUCUCUUCAAAAUAUUAGAUUUCCUGAUUGUGUAAUGUCCUUUUUUUCUUUUUCUUUUAUGCAAUGCAGCUUGGUGUGGAAAAACACAAUGAGAGCUUAUAAACAGAAAGAGAGCUAACAAAAAUUUUAAUUUGUUCCUUUUUCUUUUCCAGCCGUUCAACCUCGAUAAUCAUUACCGAAAUCAUUACUGUGAAAGCCGAAGUUGUGACGAAGCUCCUCAAAAUAGCCGAAAGGUUUUAUUUAUAUUUUUUUUCUCUAUAAAUUUUCCUGAGAUGAUUAAUGGUUUGAAGAGAUGAUUAAUGGUUUGGAAGCAUGAAAUUGGCAAGAAAAACAUGAGAAAAUGGUGGGUUGUAGGGAGAGAGAGCGUAGGUUAUGAGUUUUAGAGAGAGAAGAAGAAACUAAAAAAAGUUAUCAAACACACUUCUGUCUGGAAAUACACUUCCUACUGGAAUAUAUCAGCUAACCGUUAUCAAAUAAACGGUGAACCGUUAUUUUCCAGAGUUAGAAUAAUAUGUUUAUGGAAAUUGUCGGUUCACCAUUAGCUCUUGUUAUUGUCUAGAAUUGUAAACACCGUUAUUGUUUAUCCUUUAGCUCUCGUUAUAAAUUCAAUUGAUACUCCAUUUAUGUAUGGUCUAUUUCAGGAUUUGAACCAUAACAUACAAUUAUAAAAUGGAGUCCACAGAAGCUAGAAGGGGAAGACCUGGUCAGAGAGCAUGGAUACACUUUUUGUAAGUAUAAAAUUAUUGCUUUGAAUAAAGUUCUUAUUAUAACUAUCAAUUAUGUUGACGUAAUUAGCUGAACUAAAAUGUUGUGUACAGUAAGCAUGAAGCAGAAAAGGUCAGGCAAGAAGGGAUAAAAAAAGUUUGUAGGGCGACAAUUGUUGAAAAAUGGAAGAAAUUAACGAAUGAGGAGAAGUGCCGAUUUGGUACAAUGCAUGAGGACCCAAGUUCAAAUGUUGGUGAAAUGAGCAUUGAAAAAACAGAUGAAGAACAAAAAAUUGAGGAUAAGCAUAGCCAAUGUAAUUUAUCUCGUUGUCGUGUCAGUGCAUUCACUAAGGUCGUUUCCACACUGUCGCCCAACCAACAAGCUACAAUUAGAGAAAUUGGCUUCGGAAGCAUGCUAGAAUUACGAUGUGGUCGCCUGAGAUAAGACUUAUGUGAAACACUUGUCCAACAAUGUGAUACAAAGAGGCAUUGUAUAGUUUUACACGGGAGAGAGUUUUGUUUAAACCCUACAACCUUCAGCAUCGUAAUGAGGAUCAAAGAUGGAGGGGAACCAGUAUACAUCCGAGAAGAAGCGGGUGAUAUAAUUGAACUGCGUGCCAAGUAUAGAAUGGGUGGAAGAGGAAUUGAAAUAGCCGCAGUUAGUGAAAGAUUGAUAGCUAGUGAGAGUAGUGAUGAUGACUUCAAGAUCAUGUUUUAUUUGUUUCUUCUAGGGACUGUAUUGUGUCCCACAAGUGCCAGCUCCAUCAAUCCAAUGUAUCUACAUGCCCUAAAAGAUGUGUAGUUAAUGAGGAAAAAGAAUUGGGCUACAUGGUGUUUCAACUUUCUGUGGGAGGGCAUAGCGAAGUAUAAAGAUCAUUAAGUGAAGUCAGUUAGUGGUUGUGUUGUGUUUUUAGAGGUAUAUUUAAGAAAUCUUAGAUGCUAUAAUUAAUUUUCCAAAUACGAAAAAUAAAAUGACGUAGUAAUUGUUUUUUGAAUGAACAGUUGUUCUACUUUAGUGCUGUUUUGUAUGAUCGGUGUUCCAUGGACAGAACAAUUUGCCCUGUUAGUGUAUGGACCAAGGAAGAGAUUCAGCGCUUAUUGAAUUGGCAGAAAAAGUUUGGGGACAUGACAAGUACUGAGGUUUGUUUUAUUUUUUGUCUUGUUCACACAUGUAUUUAAUUUUGUUUACGGUUAAUUGAAUAUAUUUUUAUUGUCAUUAUGUAUGAUUGUUGUGCAUAUUUAUUUUAGGUUCCAAUGCGUGAAUCAAAUUUUCUGCGCUCGAAAGAAAUUUCCCUCAUUUUGAACAAACCGAAGAUGCUGGGCCGAGCACUGUUAAUAUGGAGGGAGCUUUUAGGGUACUCACACAGUGUGUCCACAGAAUUGAACACAAAAUAGAUUUGUUCAAUGUGAGAAUGGAAAUGGUUGAGAAGUCUUUGGAGGAAUUGAGAUCCAAGUCUCCGGUUGGUGCACCAUCAAAACAACCAUCUGAUCCAUGCCCGCCAUCUCCGAGCUUGAAAAUAGUAGAACCAACAUGUCCAGUCAGAAAAACCGAGCCAACCACUGAUGGAAAAAACAAAAUGGUAAUGGAUAGCGACGAGGACUCUGUGGAUCGCAGAUUGAACCUGAGCCUCGAUAAAAUAAUGGGCUGGAUGGGGACAAGAGAAGGAAUCGGUGAAUUUCGCAAAGAUCUUACCCAUUUUGUCCCUAUUCCACCACCUAAUCUUCGAGAUGAGGUACAGUUUUAUAACGUCUUUUUCUUAAAAUUAUUUCAAUGAUAACUCACUUAUGAAGUAACUUACAUAUAAAUUUAUUUUUUAUAAAGGCUUACUGGACGAAACCGGAUAACCGGUUGUGAAAUCCGGUUAUCCAGAUUCGAAGGACAAGCUUGUUGUCCACAACCGGAUAACCGGUUGUGAAAUCCGGUUAUCCGGCUUCGAGGGACAUGUAAACCCAAUUGAAACAGCUUACUGGACGCAACCGGAUAGCCGGUUAUGAAAAUCGAAAAUUUGGAUUCGCGUGGCCAGGUCACUGCCAACAACCGGUAAGCUGGUUAGGAAUUUCUGGAAAUCCGAAUUCGCGUGGCUAGGUCACUGCCAACAAUCGGUAAGCCGGUUAGGAAUUUCUGAAAAUCCGGAUUCGCGUGGCUUGGUCACUGCCAACAACCGGUUAGCUGGUUAGGAAUUUCCAGAAAUCCGGAUUCGCGAGUUUAUAUAUUGUUCAUCUCCUCAUUUAUCUUUCAGUAAACCGGAUAGCUUUCUCUCUCUAUAACCGAUUAUUCCUAUCUCAUUUUCUCUCCAAAGUCCAUCAUUUUCACAUGUUUUUUUGUAAAUGGAUCCAUGGAACUUAUUUCCCAUCCGUUCUUGUAUCCAAAAUCAUCCUUCAAACCCUUUUUCAACCUCAAAAUCAAUAGAUCCGAAAUCCAUUCUAGGGUUUAAGCCGAAACUUCUCUCUCUAGAUUUCUCCCUCUGAAGCCAUUUUUUAUCGAAAUUGCUUCUUAAAAUCUCUUUCCAUUCUUAUUAUCUCCCUUCUCAUUGAUUUAUUUCACUUCAAAUUAAUCAAACUCACCAUGUCAAGCUCACGGCCGGUUCGAAGAAAAGGCAAAGAACCAGUUCAACAUACCAACCGGUCACGACAAGCAGGGGGCACAUCCAAUCAAGCCAACUUUGAGGCCACACACAUUCAGAACCACAAACAUCUAGCCAAACAAUUUCACCAAUAGUUCAUGACUCGUGAGGUACUCCAAACCUUUUUUGUUUUACCGGAUUGGUUGAAUAAUCUUAGUAUUAGCAAUAGAACUUUAUUGCAAUUGUUGGAAGAUGUUGGUUGGCUUAAUGCAAUUGUUUUUUAAGAAAAUGUAUAUCCUGACUUGGUGAAAGUGUUUUACUCGAAUAUGGAUUGUUCCGCGGAGAAAGAGAAUCAAGUAAUCACCACAGUUGGAAGAGUUUCGAUUGAGUUUGAUGAUUCAGAGUUGAACUCUAUCCUAGGAACUUCCGAUGAUGGCUUAGAAAUUUUUUUACCUAAGAAACCGCCUGAUAUUGAUGACUAUGUUCAUAUUGAUGCUGUUAAGAAUAUAUGUCGUCGUAUUGACCUUUCGGAUGACGAUUGUACUAUCAAUUUUCGCACCUGAUGUCUUUGUCUUCAAACUCGGAUAUUACUUCGUUUUAUUCAGAGUAUUGUGCUUCCUAGAUCAGGCCAUUUGGAUGAGGUUUCUCAUAUGGAUGUUGCCUUGAUUGAUUGUAUUCUUAGACAUCGUCCAGUCGACUUAGGAUACACCAUUAUCCGAAACAUGCUUAGUAUACCUAAGUUGAUUACUCGUUCCCUUCCGUAUGGUCAUUUCAUCACCCGAAUCCUCAAAUACUUUAGCGUCCCUAUCCAAGAACCAUCAUGUAGGCCAUCUAAGAGCAUUGGAGAUGAGGCUGUUAGUUCUUUAGGUUUUGAGUGUCGUAAUGACACUUGGGUGAAAGUCGCUGAUAAUAAGUUCACAUUUCUUGCUCCAAGUGAUGAUCGGCCACUUAAUGCUGUGGUUCCAGCCUAUCAGCUGCCUGAUUUUUCGCUUUCAUUUCAGGGUCAGCGUAGAGGUCGAGCUCCUUCAGUGUCUCCCUCAGCUCCUGCACCUACUUUACCACAUCCCGAGCCUCCUACUUCUGAAGAAGUUACUCUUCAGCAGCUUAUGGAUGAGGUGAGGACACUCUCUGUGCGGCAGACUGAGUUUCACCAGCAGGAGCGGCUUAUUCAUGGACAACGCCUCCUCUUUAAGCACUUCGGCAUUCCAUAUCCGUAUCCACCUCCAUCACCACCAUCCUCACCACCUCAGUAGUAUCUUAUACUUGUAUUUGGACACACUUACAUUUCAUUAUGAUUUUGGAUUAUGUAUUUGUUUUGAAUGAUAUGGAUUUGUUUUGAUUGUUUGAUAUUUCAUGGAUAAAUUAUUGUUUUGAAUUUCGAAUUUAGACCUAUUUGAAAAUAUCUAAAUGUUUUCGGUCAUUCUAUAAUUUAUGAUAUUUUGGAUCAUAUCUUAAUUUCAGAAAGUUUUGGCUUUAAUAAAGUAAUAAUUAGAAUUUCUGAAAUUGGACCUAUAUGAAAAAUUUUAUAACGCUUUGGGUCAUAACAUAGUUUCAUAUAGUUUUGAGGUCAAACUGUAUUUUAAAAACAUAAUUCAUUGUAACACUUCACGUGGAAUAUACAACUUAUCACGUCAAGUUGGCAACAUGGACGUCAAACAUGAAACGGCCAAGAAUAAUCGAGAAUUUUGGCUUUAUCCAAAACAUGCAACAUUGUAGGUCAAACAUGAAAUCCUACUGUCAGACAUACAACAACUGACGUUAAACAUGAAACUUGCAACACUUCACGUGAAAUAAACGACUUAUCACGUAAAGUUCGCAACAUGGACGUCAAACAUGAAACAGGCGAGAAUAUUCUUUAUUUUGGCUUUAUUGAAGACAUGCAACCUCUAACGUAAAACAUGCAACCGUUACGUCGGACAUGCAACAACUAUCGUUAAACAUGAAACUUACAACACUUCACGUGUAAUAUACGACUUAUCACGUAAAGUUUUCAACUUCGACGUCAAACAUGAAACAAACGAGAAUAUUUCGGAAUAUUCUUUAUUUUGGAUGUAUUCAAUACAUGCAACAUCUUCCGUCAAACAUGAAAUCCAACCGUCGAAUAUGCAACAAUUAACGUUAAACAUGAAACUUGCAACACUUCACGCGAAAUAUGCAACUUAUCACGUAAAGUUCGCAACAUGGACGUUAAAUAUGAAACGGGCGAGAAUAUUCUAGAAUAUUCUUUAUUUUGGCUUUAUUCAAGACAUGCAACCUCUAACAUAAAACAUGCAACCGUUACGUCGGACAUGCAACGGCGGACGUUAAACAUGAAACUUGCAACACUUCACGUGAAAUAUACGACUUAUCACGUAAAGUUCGCAACAUGGACGUCAAACAUGAAACGGCCAAGAAUAAUCGAGAAUUUUGGCUUUAUCCAAAACAUGCAACAUCGUACGUCAAACAUGAAAUCCUACCGUCAGACAUGCAACAACUGACGUUAAACAUGAAACUUGCAACACUUCACGUGAAAUAUACGACUUAUCACGUAAAGUUCGUAACAUGGACGUCAAACAUGAAACGAGCGAGAAUAUUCGAGAAUAUUCUUUAUUUUGGCUUUAUUGAAGACAUGCAACCUCUAACGUAAAACAUGCAACCGUUACGUCGAACAUGCAACAACUAUCGUUAAACAUGAAACUUGCAACACUUCACGUGUAAUAUACGACUUAUCACGUAAAGUUCGCAACUUCGACGUCAAACAUGAAACAUACAAGAAUAUUUCGGAAUAUUCUUUAUUUUGGUUGUAUUCAAUACAUGCAACAUCUUCCGUCAAACAUGAAAUCCAACCGUCGAAUAUGCAACAACUAACGUUAAACAUGAAACUUGCAACACUUCACGCGAAAUAUGCAACUUAUCACGUAAAGUUCGCAACAUGGACGUUAAACAUGAAACGGGCGAGAAUAUUCGAGAAUAUUCUUUAUUUUGACUUUAUUCAAGACAUGCAACCUCUAACGUAAAACAUGCAACCGUUACGUCGGACAUGCAACAACUAACGUUAAACAUGAAACUUGCAACACUUCAUGUGAAAUAUACGACUUACCACGUAAAGUUCGCAACAUGGAACGUUAAACAUGAAACGGGCGAGAAUAUUCGAGAAUAUUCUUUAUUUUGGCUUUAUUCAAGACAUGAAACCUUUAACGUAAAACAUGCAACCGUUACGUCGGACAUGCAACAACGGACGUUAAACAUGAAACAUGAAACUUGCAACACUUCACGUGAAAUAUACGACUUAUCAUGUAAAGUUCGCAACAUGGACGUCAAACAUGAAACGAGCGAGAAUAUUCGAGAAUAUUAUUUAUUUUGGCUUUAUUCAAGACAUGCAACUUCUAACGUAAAACAUGCAACCGUUACGUCGGACAUGCAACAACGGACGUUAAACAUGAAACUUGCAACACUUCACGUGAAAUAUACGACUUAUCACGUAAACUUCGUAACAUGAACGUCAAACAUGAAACGGGCGAGAAUAUUCGAGAAUAUUCUUUAUUUUGGCUUUAUUCAAGAUAUGCAACUUCUAACGUAAAACAUGCAACCGUUACAUUGGACAUGCAACAACUGACGUUAAACAUGGAACUUGCAACACUUCACGCAAAAUAUGCAAUUUAUAACGUUAAGUUCGCAACUUCAACGUCAAACAUGAAACGGACGAGAAUAUUCCGGAAUAUUCUUUAUUUUAGAUUUAUUCAACACAUGCAACAUCAUACGUCAAACAUGAAAUCCGACCGUCGAAUAUGAAACAACUGACGUUAAACAUGAAACUUACAACACUUCACGCGAAAUAUGAAACGUAUCACGUAAAGUUCGCAAUUUCGACGUCAAACAUGAAACGGACGAGAAUAUUCCGAAAUAUUCUUUAUUUUGGCUUUAUUCAACACAUGCAACAUCUUACGUCAAACGUGCAAUCAAUACGUCGGAGAUGCAACAACUGACGUUAAACCUGAAAUACUAUUUUUUUCAUUUUCAAUUUCUUUAUUUUUUGCCAUUUUAUUUAAUUAUAUUAUAUUGUAUUAUAGGGUUUCUAUUAUAUUAUUUAAUUUUUUUAUCUUUUGCUAUUAAUUAUAUUAUAAAAAACUAUUUUUGACAUUUUAUUUAAUUUUUCAUUUUUAUAUUGUAUUUUUAAUAUAUUUUUUAAAAAAAAUAUGGUGCAACCGGUUUGUUAACCGGCUGCACCAAGUCUUUGGCUGCCAAAUGGCAGCCAAAGACAGCCUGGCUCUCUUUUUGAGAGCCCGGCAUGGUGCCGGGUACAAUGCCAAUGGCACUGUAGCCAAACCCUAAUAGAAUUUCGGGUUUGGCUACAAUGUCGUUGGCAUUGUAGCCGGCACCAUGCCGGGCUCUCAAAAAGAGAGCCAGGCUGUCUUUGGCUGCCAUUUGGUAGCCAAAGACUUGGUGCAGCCGGUUAACAAACCGGUUGCACCUUUUUUUAAAAAAAAAAAUAAAUAUUAAAAAUACAAUAUAAAAAUGAAAAAAUUAAAUAAAAUGUCAAAAAAAUAGUAUUUUAUAAUAUAAUUAAUAGCAAAAGAUAAAGAAAUUGAAUAAUAUAAUACAAUAUAAUAUAAUUAAAUAAAAUGUCAAAAAAUAAAGAAAUUGAAAAUGAAAAAAAUAGUAUUUCAUGUUUAACGUCAGUUGUUGCAUGUCGGACGUCCCGGUUGCAUGUUUGACGUUAGAUGUUGCAUGUUUUGGAUAAUGACAAAAUAAAGAAUAUUCUCGAAUAUUCUCGCCCGUUUCAUAUUUGACAUCCAAGUUGCGAACUUAACGUGAUAAGUUGUAUAUUUCACGUGAAGUGUUGCAAGUUUCAUGUUUAACAUCAGUUGUUGCAUGUCGGACGUCCCGGUUGCAUGUUUGACGUUAGAUGUUGCAUGUUUUGGAUAAUGCCAAAAUAAAGAAUAUUCUUGAAUAUUCUCGCCCGUUUCAUAUUUGACGUCCAAGUUGCGAACUUAACGUGAUAAGUUAUAUAUUUCACGUGAACUGUUGCAAGUUUCAUAUUUAACAUCAGUUGUUGCAUGCCGGAUGUUCUGCUUGCAUGUUUGAAGUUAGAUGUUGCAUGUUUUGAAUAAAGCCAAAAUAAAGAAUAUUCUCGAAUAUUCUCGCUCGUUUCAUGUUUGACGUCAAAGUUACGAAGUUUACGUGAUAAGUUGUAUAUUUCACGUGCAGUGUUGCAAGUUGAAUGUUGAACGUCUGUUGUUGCAUGUCCGACGUCCCACUUGCAUGUUUGACGUUAGAUGUUGCAUGUUGAACGUAAAGCCAAAAUAAAGAAUAUUCUCGAAUAUUCUCGUUCGUUUCAUGUUUGACGUCGAAGUUGUAAACGUUUCGUGAUAAGUUGUUUAUUUCACGUGCAGUGUUGCAAGUUGCAUGUUUAACGUCCGUUGUUACAUGUCCGAUGUCCCGCUUGCAUGUUUGACGUUAGAUGUUACAUGUUUUGGAUAAAGCCAAAAUAAAGAAUAUUCUCGAAUAUUCUCGCUCAUUUCAUGUUUGACGUCCAAGUUGCGAACUUUACAUGAUAAGUUAUAUAUUUCACGUGAACUGUUGCAAGUUUCAUAUUUAACGUCUGUUGUUGCAUGUCGGAUGUUCUGCUUGCAUGUUAGACGUUAGAUGUUGCAUGUUUUGAAUAAAGCCAAAAUAAAGAAUAUUCUCGAAUAUUCUCGCUCGUUUCAUGUUUGACGUCAACGUUACGAAGUUUACGUGAUAAGCUGUAUAUUUCACGUGCAGUGUUGCAGGUUGCAUGUUGAACGUUUGUUGUUGCAUGUCCGACGUCCCGCUUGCAUGUUUGACGUUAGAUGUUGCAUGUUGAACAUAAAGCCAAAAUAAAGAAUAUUCUCGAAUAUUCUUGUUCGUUUCAUGUUUGACGUCGAAGUUGUAAACUUUUCGUGAUAAGUUGUAUAUUUCACGUGCAGUGUUGUAAGUUGCAUGUUUAACGUCCGUUGUUACAUGUUCGACGUCCCGCUUGCAUGUUUGACGUUAGAUGUUGCAUGUUUUGGAUAAAGCCAAAAUAAAGAAUAUUCUCGAAUAUUCUCGUCCGUUUUAUGUUUGAUAUCUAAGUUGCAUACUUUACGUGAAAGGUUGCAUAUUUGACGUGAUAUGUUGUAGGUUUCAUGUUUAACAUCAAUUGUUGCAUGUUAGACGUCACGGUUGCAUAUUUCAGGUUAAAUGAUGCAUGUUUUGAAUAAAGGCAAAAUAAAGAAUAUUCCCGAAUAUUCUGGCCCGUUGCAUGUUUGACGUCUAAGUUGCAUACUUUACAUGUUAAGUUGCAUAUUUGACGUGAAAUGUUGUAGGUUUCAUGUUUAACGCCAGUUGUUGCAUGUUUGACGCUAGAAGUUACAUGUCCUGAAUAAAGUUAAAAUAAAGAAUAUUCCCGAAUAUUCUCACCCGUUUCAUGUUUGAUGUCAAAGUUGCAUACUUUACGUGAUAAAUUGUAUAUUUAACGUGACUUGUUGCGGGUUUCAUGUUUUACGUCUAUUGUUGCAUGUUGGACAUCGCAGUUGCGUGUUUGGCGUUAGAUGUUGCAUGUCUUGAAUAAAGCCAAAAUAAAGAAUAUUUCUGAAUAUUCUCGCCCGUUUCAUGUUUGACGUCAAAGUUGCAUACUUUACGUGAUAAAUUGCAUAUUUAACAUGACUUGUUGCGGGUUCAUGUUUUACGUCUAUUGUUGCAUGUUGGACGUCGCGGUUGUAUGUUUGACGUUAGAUGUUGCAUGUCUUGAAUAAAGCCAAAAUAAAGAAUAUUUCUGAAUAUUCUCGCUUGUUUUAUGUUUGACAUCAAAGUUGCAUACUUUACGUGAUAGGUUGCAUGUUUGACGUAAAAUAUUAUAGGUUUAUAUAAAAUAACUAAUUAUAAAAUGAGAGUGCAUUUCAAAAUUCCUUGACAAAUCAAGUGAUAAUUUAUAACUAAACUUAUUUUUUCAAAUUUUUUAUUAUUAAUUAAGCCAAUCUAUUAAGAAACAAAUGAAAAUUAAAUUAAAUUCAACUUUUACCUAAUAAAUAUAUUUAGGAAUAUAUCUAAUUAAACUGGUACACAAAUUACAAAUGUUUUCAUGAAAUUACAUAUAUAAGUUUAAUAGUCUCACUAUUUUUUACAUGAUUGAUAAAAUGAUGGCUUUGGAAAGAACUUGUGAUAUGAAAAGAAAAAUCUAGUUAAUUAUAAUAAAAUUACAUAUCUAAUCCAACCUUUUUUCCUUAUUUUAGUCAGAUAAUAGUUUUGAAAAUAAUUUGAUAAUUCAAGUGAUAAUGUCUAUUCUUAUUUGUUGUAUAAUAUUUUUUUAGGUGCAUUUCAUUUCAUUUUUAUUUUUUUAGAGAAUCUAAUCAUGGUGGAUAUUUUAAAUUACUAAGUCAUGAAAAUUUUGAAUUCAAUUGAAAUUUACAAUCUUUUAUGAAUGAAAAUAUACAGCAAGACAAAAAAAUUGAGAUAAAAAGAAAAUGUGGUAGAAAGAAAAGGCAACAUCAAUAUGAUCAUUUUCUAAGAAAAAUUAAGGCAAAAUCUUCCAAGUAAUAUGGUCAAUUUCAAUAAAAUUACAACUUACUAGAGUAUAUCCAUCUACUAAACAUCCAAAGUUCACAACAUAAUUUUUGAAUAUCACCAAUAACAUCCCCAGUCCUAAAGAUUGCAACAAAUUCAUGUAACAUUUGAGAGUAUUGUUUGGGGGUAAAAACAUCGUGACCAGGUACGCAUAAGUAGAAUGCGCACCCCUCAGUCGGCCUAAGGCGACUCCUUGAGGAAAGUCUUCCCCGACGAGUUGAGCAUUGGAGGGUUUAUGUUAGAAAAUCCUCCGACAUCCCCUGACUAGUUGUUAUGAACGCAAGCAUCCUUGGAGAAAGAGCUUGAGGUCCCAAGAGCCUAUUCGAUAAGAAAGAUAGAAGUACAAACCGACUCCCCAACAACUACUAAUUUAAGUGUUGGCGUGGUUGUCUGGUCGCUUCACAACUCGACCAGAAUUCAACAUCAACAGAUAUUUUAGAAUCUAGUGUAUCUUCAAUAAUUUUGGAUUAAAUUGUAUGACACUUUUUUCUUUCUUUUUUUUUUGUGAAAACAAAUUUUAGUACACUUAUUUUAAAAGAAAUUUGUUAAUGAAAAACAAAAUAAUGACAAUGAAGAGCACUCAUUUAUAAAAAUAAGCUACAAAUAGGAAAACAAAAUUCAUAUAAGUAGAAUCUCCCAAAAAAUAAAAGCAUUGUCAAAUUGAGUUACAAACUAAUAAUAAUUUCAUCAAAGUUUGUAAACUAAAGAUUGUCCUAAUAUCAAAAAGUUUCCAAUAAAACACUUAUGCCAGAUAAUUUAUAGAACCUAGUAAUAUCCAACUGAAUUCUCCCCUGCAAAUAAUUAAAAUUUUCAAGUUAGUCAAUAAGAAAAAACAGCCAUCAAUCAUAAUAAGAAGCAACAACAAAUUACACUAAAAAAAUAGCAGAAAAAAGCACCAAAACAACAAAUAUAAACAAGAAACAACAAUAAAAAAAAAACCCAAAAAUGGCAAAAAGAGAUGCUCAAAGCAGCAAUAAAUUUAUAAAAAAUACCCUAAAAUAGCAAGAAAACUACCUAAAACCAGAAAAAAAAAAUCUAAAAUAGCAGCAAAAUCUUCCAUUGCCAGAUAAAGCUAUGAAAGAAAAGAAAUAAAAUUCAUAAAGAGUCAAAGCUAACAUACUGACCACUUGCUAGAAAUUAAGCUAUAAAUCCCAAAUUUUUACACAAAUUAAUAUCUGAAACAAGAUUGGUUUGAUAUAUGAUAGUCAAGUAAAAUACCUAUAAAGUAGUACAAAAUCAGCAAACCUAAUGGCUUCACUCCACUCAUUUUCUUAAGACUCCAGUGAUGAGAAGCUGCCAACAGAAUGAUAAAUUGAGGUUUGACAGGAAGCACACAAACUAAACAAGAUACAUAACAACUUUGUUAUCCAUGUUACACCCUAGAACCAUUUCUAGGAAUAUUUGUUAGAAUAGCCACCAUAACAGUUGAUGAGCAACAUAAAACAGAGACAACAACAAAACCAGCAACCUGCAAAGUGCCAAUUCUUCCAUAAUUAAAUCAGAUAGACAAUAGAAAUAAUUUACUAUUAAAAUCCCAAAUUCAUUUUAUCUUCUUCCUGCAUUUUCUCAUCAAUCAAACAUAAAAGAGAGCUCCUAUCGACAUAUGCAAACAGCACCCACCAUCUUGUCACAUUCAAACACAACCCAAGAUCACAAAAGUUAAUUUUCCAGAUUUAGUUAACCAAAGAAAAUAUACCAUCAAUUGGAUCACCUUAUAAAUCAAAUACAAUUACACGAUAUUACCAACCUCCCAAAAAAAAAAGGCACAAACUUUAAAAUGAAAACAACACCACCAUGAAAAAUAAGCAAAAGUGGGUAUUUGAAUCAAACAUGAUAGAAUGCAACAAAAGCAAAAAAGCUUUCCAUAGAAGCCAGAGCCAGAUUGGGUACAAGCAAGCUAGGAUGUACCAAUUAAAGAUGCUUCAUUCAAGAACAGAAAAGCUACCAGAAUGAUAAAAGUAGAAAAAAUGAAACAAUAAAUAGAAAAUUGGGUGAAGCUGCAACAAUAGUUUCAAUCACUUAACAGUACCAGCAAACUUAUAGUCAACUUUAAGAACUAGAUGUUUAAGCCACAGAUAACGGGGACGUACCCAUGAGGAUAAAGACACAAGCGUGAGACCAGCAAAGCCGCCCAUCCUUAACUUGUGCAGCAGACAAAGUCGAAUGAAAAAGGAGGCAACGACGGUAGCGACGGAAACGGCUGGAUCGGAAGCGAACAGCUCAAGAUGAAAGCAACAAGUUAAUGGAUUGGAUUGUGUGCGCGUGAUGUGGCUUCGUUUUUAUUUGGUUAGUCAAGAAAUCGAAGAGAGAAAUUUGUGAUUUCUGAGAGAGAGGCAAGAAAUUGAGAGAGAUUGGGCGCGGUUGAAACACCUAAAUUAUUAAAAUAUAAAUUUUGCAGCGUUUGGGAACUGGUUGCUUCGGUUGCCCUUUUUUUGUUUUUUUAUUUCUUUUCAAUGUCAGCCGUUGGAUUCAUUUUACUUGAAUCCAACGACUGCAUUUACAAGCCAGCACAAUGCCGGGCCUCAAUGCCCGGCAUUGUAGCUUUAGCCUAUUAUUUCAAUAUGUAGUUUAUUCAAGUUUUCAAGUUUUGUUUUUAAAUUCACACCCCUCUCUCUCAUUCUUCUCUCUCUGUGUGUUUGCUGAACUCUCAAUGGCGAGCAACGUUCAGCACCUCACCCAAACAAUCCGACUCUCUUUCCCAUCUCUUCACAAUUUCAAAGCUUCUGAUGCUUUUACGAAUAAGAGUUUAAUUACCACAUUUCCAGUACGUUUCUCUUUUCACAGCUCAGCAAAAUUAACUACUUCUAUUCGCUCUUUACCAGUCGCUACCGCUAGCAUUAGCUACAGAAGCAGCUGUACCUUCACUUGGGACGACGUCGUUCGAGUUUCUCAACCAGAAUACUCCCCUGACGAUUCUUCCGAUCUCCGUGGCUACUUCGAGAAAAUCAAAAUCUGCAAUCGUGGCUCAGUUACUAUUUCAAAUUCCUCAUCAAACAAAUAAAUUUUGCAACCUUUAUUUUGCUGCACUUAAUUCAUUUUCUUAUCUUUUAAUUAUUAUUAUUUUUAAGGAAAUGCAAUCCGAGUUUUUUCCUUUUAUCAUCGAGGACCAAGUUGUUGGUUACACACAUAAUCGGUACAAUUUCUUUAUCCUCAUAAUAGAAAAUAGAUUAUGUCUAUUUAUUCCUGUUAGGGAUUUUAAAUUCUGAACAAUUCUUUUUUUCUUUUUUGAUUCAUUUUUGAAUCUAAGCAGUUUCGCUAGCCGCCUGAGGAAAUACGACGACGUAUUCAUAUACUCUGAAAACAACGGAGGUCGAUUUGGCAGUCACCUGAAGUUAAAUUCAAAGCUGAAAACAGCCGAUGAGAGGACGAGAGUUGUUGGAGAAGUGAUUAAAUGCUUGGCCGAAGAAGAAUUGAUUCCAGGUAUACGGAAUGAGGUACUGCUAGCUUUACUUUUGAUGUUUAUAUAGGAACUGAAUCGAUUCUCUUUCACUUUUGAAUAUAUGCUUCGUGCUUGUGACUAUGUCCAUAUGAUGUGUAAUUUGCAAUUGAUUUUUUUGAGAUUGAUUCAUUUUGGAUUUCAUUGGUUUAUAAUCAGCUCUAUCCUGUAACAUCAACCUUUGGUUCUCCGAUCUUUUUCUCGCUGGAACGUGCCGCUGCUCCUUACUUUGGAAUAAAGGUGAGUUCAUGACUUUUGCUUUGCAUCAAGGAUACUUGUGCAUAAAGUUAGAGAUACAAUAAGUUAGUGAUCAUGAGAUGUUUAUUGCAGAUAUGAUCACAUGAAACAGUUGUCUUGUUAAGUGUCUAUGUUUGGAUCUAGUCACCAUCGAACUUUGUCUAUUUUAUUACUUUGUAUAUUACUUUGCUUUCUGGUAAUAGACUGAAUUAUAAUUUACUUGGCUAUUGAUGGUUAUAUUGCUGUUCCUUUCUUCCUGAAUUUGAAAAUAGGCUUAUGGAGUUCACAUGAAUGGUUAUGUUGAAAAAGACGGGCGAAAAUUUCUAUGGAUUGGAAAACGAAGUCAAGUCAAACCUACUUAUCCAGGGAUGCUUGAUCAUCUAGUUGCUGGAGGAUUGGUAUGUAAUAAUAACCUUUCAUUGCUUUUCUUUGGUUGAUAGUAUUGGAUUCUUCUUUUGAAUUGCAUUGAGUUUACUUUUGUUUUGAAAAAAAGGACAGUCGUCAGCUGAUUCUCCUAAGCCCUUUUUGUGAUCGGAAAAAAGUGCCAAACAUGUAUUGCAUGAGUAGGGCACAGCUGGAUCCUCAUAUACUUGAAAUUCACUGAUGACCUUCAUUUGAAAUUGGAAUAGGUUGCUUACUAAAAAAUAGAUUAAUAAGGUUUUUCUUCAGCAGUGGACUCCAAUAUGACUGCAGUUGAUUAUUGUAACAAGAUUGACUUCUGAAGUGCUACUAAGGCUUAAGAAUCAAUUAGUCCUUGGAAAUUCUCAAAAUAGUAGGAAGAAGGCACAACAUUAUCCAAUGGCUGUUUGUCAUUCUGUGGUAGCAUAAAAGAAUAAGAGGGAAGAGGCAAAAGGUCAUUCUGAAAAAUGCCAUUUCUAUGGUGCCAUUUGUAAAACAUGCAAGCAAAAACGUAGGGGGCAAGAGAAACUUUGCGGACAUUUGUUUCUGUUAUUUUUCGGUUGGACUGAUUUAUCUCUUUACUAGUUAUAUAUGUUUUCAAGUUUAAACUUAGUGGUUUGGGCAGCUGGCAAAUAUUUGUCCAUGUUAGUCUGUAAUGAGAAAAUGAUCUUGAAAAGCCUUUAGUGAACCAUGGAAACUUGAGCUCAGAACAAAUAUCACUUGGGCAACAAACCCUGUGCAAUUGGAAAACAAUAGGUGUUCUUCCUUGUUGCAAUACUUGGAGAUUCCAGUUCAGUUACUGCAAUUGGAGAAAGAAUUUAUAUUAAUGAAAACUAUGGAUUCAUUUCAUUUAAAAAUGUUUUCUCUAAUCUUUAUGCUCAGUUAUCUGAACCAACGCUUCAUCUAUAUAAUCGUGAUGGUGAUUGCAGCCCCAUGGUAUUGCUUGUGGGGAGAAUAUUAUCAAGGAAUGUGAAGAGGAAGCGGGAAUACCUAGAUCCAUAUCCAAUAGGUAAGCUGUCCCCAUGCCACAUUGAUUCUAAAUUUGAGUACUAAUUGUAUUUAACUAUAUUAUAUUGGCUAAAAAUGUGAACUUUGCUAAAGUUCCACUCCACAUGUCAACAUUCUGAUUAAACCGUGCUUCUUUUGUGGAUGAUUGGUUGUACUAAUGGGUCCAGAUAUACAUCUUUCACAGAGCUAGACCAGUGGGAGCUGUUUCCUAUAUGGACAUUAAUGGGUUUAGUUACAAAAGAGAUGUUCUAUUUUGUUACGAUUUGAAGCUACCUGAAGAUUUUGUUCCUAAGAAUCAAGGUAACUGUAUUAAAGCUUGAUCUCAUUGAUGCCCAUUUUCUUCCCUAGUGAGAAUAAGGUAUAAAAGCAAUAUUUCUUGAGCUGCAAACUAGUAUUAGCAUUCCUACUGUUAAAUAUUUAUACAUGUCAAUCUAUAACAUACAGCCGCUGCAGUUUUAGAAGAGAAUUAUAUCUAUUCAUUGUAAUAGCUUUAUUAAACAUGUUGCAGACGGAGAGGUAGAAAGCUUCCAGUUGAUCCCUGUGGCACAUGUUGCAAAUGUCAUAAGGAGGACAGAGUUCUUCAAGCCAAAUUGCUCCCUAGUCAUCAUUGAUUUCUUGUUUCGACAUGGGUAUUAGCACUUUUCUUGAUUGCUUCUUGUAUCUCUCUCAGUUUGAGACUUUCAGUAAUCAGUUAAAAAGAUUAAAAUAAAUAAAUAAAAACUAGCAUAUGUGACAGCCAUAUAAUAAAUAAAUAAAUAGAAAGCAUAAUCACUUCUUUUUUUUUAAUUUUUUAUUAACUGUCAAUUUGUGGCAAUGGUUGCUGUUUUUCUUAUGAUAGUGGACUCUUCUGCCCUGUAGAAAUGAUAAAAGCAACAGUGUGUAAUUGUAAUGAAUCUUAAAUGUUUGCUCUACUACUACUAAUAUUCCCGUGUGCUUCUGUUUAGUUUUAGGAAUCUUUUAGAUGUCUUUGGGUUUUCUUUUUCAUGAUUUCAUACAUUUAUUGUUUAUGCUGAUUAAAAUUGUUACAUAUUAGGCUAGGGAAAUUGCUCCAGGAUUUUAUUUCUGACACUCAUAUGCACUUCCUACAAUUUCAAUGAAUCUCGAGAUAUGUCCUUGAUUUUUCUUGUAAUGUCCAUACAUUGAUGCUGGUUGAUAUUAGAUAGAUUUGAAGGGAUUCAUGCUCAAAGGCCUUGUUGUAGUUCCUCCUUUACCAUUAAGAAAAACUCAGCUGUAGCAUAUCAAUCCAUCCCAGUUUGAUUCUAAUCUUUUACCAUAAUGCUGCAACUUGCAGGUACAUUUGUCCGGAAUAUUUUGGAUACUUGGAUCUACUACAGAAUUUGAGAAGCGGAGACUGCUCCUAAUUAUUUGUCUUCGUGCCUAUCUUCUUUUUCUAUUUUUUUUUAAUCCUCCAAAUAAAUUGGAUUGUCUGAAUGACGAUUGAUGUUAAUUAAAAGCUUUAUUUUCCUGUCGCGAAAGAGAAAAUUUGGGCAUUACAUCAAUUGGUUUUAAGAUACAGGAUCGUGCGCAAAGAUUGAGAUAUGGUGAAAUCACAGUUCUUAAAAUGAGACUUCUGGAGGAAACUAAACAUAUAGUAUGCAAUUUAGGGUUAAAAAAAAAGGAAAAAGAAAAAGGAUUGGGCGGCGCUCGCAUUAGCUUCCCAUCACCCAGGAUUUGGGCCCUAUUUGAUAUCCAGGUUGACCUUUAAAGGUUACAACACUAAGGGCAGGCCUGCCCGCCCAGCCCAUUUGCCAUACCUGUGGUACUAUUGAGAGAAAGGAAAAUCGGUUAUCAAGAACAAAAGGCCGCGCAAUUAACUGGUGGAAUUCUAUUUUUACCCAAUAUUCUUCUGCACUUCAAAAUGGAUCGAGAGAAAACUAGACAAGAAAACAGUAAGAUACCUUAACUGUGCCAAAUGGAAAAGCAUUUGUCUAAUGCAUAAUUAUUAUAUUUCUUGAAGAUGUAAUUUUUUUUCCAGUAAUAGAUAUCUAGGAUCCACUUGCUUAAGAUGUAAAUAUUGAUCGAUAGAUAUCUAUGUUCCAGGCGCGUAACUAGGACUGCUCUGUAUUAGAGCCUCACACUUUCAAUUCUUCAACUCCUGUGCCCAGUGGUUCAAAUAAAGCUUCAACUUGACUUUGGUUGACUUCCUCCAAGCUUGCUGGGUUCCACUUAGGAUUCUGCCAAAAACAUGAUAAUCCACUGAGAAAACUACAUGCGCAUUACCAUUAUGGGCCUCAAUAAGUUUAUCCGCUACUAUGCAUUACCAUCACAGGCCUCCAUAAAUUUAUGGACUACUAUGUGUUUAUGUAAUUUAGUCAACACCUAUUUAAUGAUAUUUGGAACUUGUUAAGCUUUAGAACGGGAGAAGCAUUCUAUAAAGGGAAAGAUUAUUUGCACCAUUAGCUAGUAUCCUCCUAAUUUCAUCGAUGGAAAGGGAUGCAGAAUCAGUUCAAAAAAUUUAUUCAAGUUUUAAUUGACUAAAGAGAACCUGAUCCUUGUCCACCAAGACUGCUCGAACACCUUCAGCAAAAUCACUUCGCAAAGAAGAUCUUAAGGCAACUCGAUAUUCAUAUUUCAUUACCCCGCUUAGCUGAAUGGGAACCAAGUGUAGAAGGAAAUAUAUGUUACUUUUGACUGUUUCACCUUUAUAGGAGGAAAUCACGGAGUAGUACAAACCAAAAAGAUGAAAAAUAGAAUUCCAACUUACCUUUGAUAAUUCAUUGUCAGUUUUUCCAUGUGCUGAUGCAACUUUAGAGAAGUACUUUUGUGUUAAGCAAAGAGAAAAUGGAGCACCUUUCCCCAUUCCUUGAAGGGCCUCAUCAGCCCAUUGUGCCACUGAAGGAAGACAAAUGGAAUCAGAACUGUGGUGAACAUCAACACAAACCUAAUCAACCCAGUAUAAUCAACGCCACUUUAACAUCGACCAAAAAAUUUCUGAGGACACCAAUGUCACUUAUUACGUUGUUCUCAUUUCCAUAGACAAAACGGCUAAAUAGCUUACCUGAAGUCUCAGUGCUUGAUUGAUGUUUCUUUAGCUCUUCAAUUAUCUGCCUAACUGACUUUUCUGAACUAAAGCAUGAAGUAAUUUGAGGCAAAAGAAGCUUCAGUGGGGCUUCACCCUCAGGGUCACUGCUAUAUUUUGCCAAAACUGCUACAAUAUCCUGAUGCGGAUCUUCGGAACUGUAACACCAAUAAUCAUUUUGACCUUUUAGUGGCAGCUGGAAAUCUAAAAAUUGCAACAAUACGCAGAUGUUUUGAUAAAAAAACAUGAAUAAAUCCCAGAUCCAGAAAGUAAAUACAUUACAAAAUUCACUUUGUUAGAACAAUUUAGCUUUAUACAAUAGAGAAACAAUGUUCUAGACCUACCACCUACCAUGAGAACACUCAGCAAGAACAAUACAAAACUAAAAACUUCACAGAGUGAUGGAUCUCUUAUUACCUCACCAUUGCUAAAAUAAAGGAUGUCAAUAACUGGAAUUUGUUUUAAUUUAAGCAAUCCAAGCACUAAAUGUGGAUUCAUUUCCAUUGAAACAAAAGAUGGAAUAUAAGAUAGAAAGAUAAUUGAAGACAUACAAGGUAACUGCCAAAAGGGCCUCCUUCAGUGAACCUAAAUUCCCCGAUGGCACAUAAUCCGUUCCAAGUCCAGCAAAGAGUGCAUCAGAAGGUGUGGAAAUUCUCUUUCCCGUCAUACCAAGAUAAGCACCUGCAAUAUUUUAGGAUUUCAAGUGACUGAACAUUCAACAACAGAGCAUCAACUAGAGUCACUAGACAAUCAGUUUUCUGGAAGAAAGACGAGAAAGAAAUCCAGCAUGAACGGAGAGGUCCUAAUAAAUUCACAGAGGCCAAGGUCUCACCAAACAAGCCAAAAUCCCACCCCAUUUUUUAGAGCAAUUUUUGAAAAAAAGGGAGAAAAGCUAAUUAAAACGACUUGCUCACUAGCUAGAUAUUAUCCACUUUGGGCUUCACACAUUUGUCCUUCACCCUCAUAUUUUUGUUCUUGGUAUGGGUCCAAUCCCACCUGAAAGACUGCUUUCUAGUUUAAGGAAGGUCACCCCUUCUAAGCUCAUUACUCAGAUCCUCCCAAGCAAUGUGGGAUGAAACAGUUAUGUCAAAUAAAUUAUUAAGGCAACAAAGAUAUAAGUUUGAAAUAUUUAGAUGAGAUGGUCAGAUAACAGGUUGGAAGGUAGGAAUACAUUUAACGUGAUGGAAAUGCAAAAUUGAUUUUCAAACUGAGAAAGAAUUAGGGGGUUCAAGGAAAUUAGAAUAGAGGCAAUCCCUAUGUUAGUCCCCGACCAAAAAAAAAAAGACAAUUUACGACAAAUAGAGAAAAAAAUAUCACAUUGUUAGGAGAUAAAAAUCUUAAUGAAGAAAGAUUCGAAAGUAGCUCGCCUAUGAUCCCACAUCCAAUCUAAAUGACUAAGAAACCAUACGAUGCAUGCAAAUUCAAUAUCAGGCAACAAAAGAAAUCUAUAUGCACCAUUCAGAUAAGAAUAACCAUACCAACAGAUCCUCCUCCAGGACCUUUUGCUGCUAUGUAUGAAAAUCCAACAUCCGGGAACAAGCCAAUUCCAUUUUCUGGCAUGGCUAGAAGAGUUUUCUGAGAAGUAUUUAUUUUAAAAAAAAGAGCUAAAAUGAAAAACUAGUACAGCUUUUAAAACAUGAAAUUGACACCACUGUGGACAUGUCAACACCAUUCAUACCUCUGUUACAAUUCUGUAGCGACCAUGACCGGAUAGGCCGAUUCCAAAACCCAUUGUUACACCAUCCAUUAAGCUUAUGUAUGGUUUCUUGUACUCAGAAAUUUUGCAUAUUAGAGAAUACUCUGCAGUGAACACCUGAGAGAAAAUGCACCACAAUGAGGCGUAUUAAGUUAAUUUAAUGGAACAUAUUAAAAAAAAGAGGUUAACAUAACAUAACAAACUAAUUAAGGAGACAGAAUAGCAUGCAAACACAAGCCUAAAAAGUCAAUUUAUGCAAAACCACGCACAAUAUAAAAUGAAACUUGAUAAACAAUGAGAUUGAAUCCACGUAAUAAGAAUGAAAUGCAUGCAUCAAAAAUAUAAAUCUAUAAAACUGGUAGACAUAAAUUGCCUGAAACAAGUCAAUGAUCCGAAUAUAACAUUUAUGCAUAUGCAUGUCAAAUUCCAAAUACUCUUAUUAUCUCAUUUAAGAAGAAAAAUACAUUAAUUCAAUGUAAAACUUUAAAUCAACAAAAAACAUAAAACCAUAUUUUGAUCCUCCUACAAAAACCCAAUAUUCAUCCGAGAGUCUAAAAAGCAUGUUACAUCAGUCUUAUGUUAUACAUAAAUGAUAAAAAAAAAUAAAAAUUCUGCCAUUCAAAAUUCGAAUAUAAUUAUGUGAGGUAUCAUCAAAUAAAUUUCUCUUAAAAGAAUUUCCACGUCUUAUUUUAGGAAUACACCUAGGGAUACGACAUUAAGAGCUGAUAAUGACUGACUGCAACUGUAAGUGGUUCAAGGGAGAUUGACUGCAGGUAACAGUGUUAUUUGGAAAAGAUGAGAUAUUGGAAUCGAAGCAACUAUGAUAGGAAAAAUAGUUAUUUUGAACUUGACUAUAUGUUUAUAUUGGUGAAUAACUUGUAUUUCUAUAUUUCUGAUCAGAAUACAAUAGUACAAAUAUAUAGCUUUACAAUGAACUAAUUUAGGAAACUAUCCUAGCUAAUUGAGGAAAGUAUCCUAGCUAAUUGACAACUAUACACGCAGCUAUUCUAGGAAACUAGAUCAAUUCUAAUAACUCUAUUUUUGGUACAAUUUCCUCUGGUUUGAAUUAAUAUCUUGCAACACUCCCCCUCAAGCUGGCUUGUAGAUGUCUUCCAUAGCUAGCUUGCUGACUAGUAGUUCAAAAUGUCCCUUGUGUAGUCCUUUGGUGAGUAUGUCUGCUAUCUGUUGUGCGGUUGGUACAUAGGGAACACAUAUUACCCCACUUUCAAUUUUCUCCUUGAUGAAAUGCUUAUCAACCUCAAUAUGCUUAGUUCUAUCAUGUAGAACUGGAUUGUGGGCAAUAGAGAUGGCAGCUUUGUUAUCACAGUAAAUCUUUAUGGGAAGAGACACUGGAAUCUUUAAAUCUGAAAAUAGUCUCUUUAUCCAUAUUGCCUCGCAAAUUCCAUGUGCGAGUGACCUGAAUUCUGCCUCAGCACUACUCCGAGCCACAACGCUUUGUUUUUUGCUCCGCCAUGUAACGAGAUUUCCCCCAAUAAAGGUGCAGUAGCCUGAAGUUGAUCGCCUGUCAGUUGAGCUACCAGCCCAAUCUGCAUCUGUAUAGACUUCAAUUUGAAGGUUGUCCCGUUUCCGGAACAUAAGACCCUUUCCAGGGGUUCCCUUUAGAUAUCUUAGUAUCCUAUAGGCUGCAUCAAAGUGUUCCUGUCCUGGUGAGUGCAUGAACUGACUUACCAUGCUUACAGCGAAAGCUAUAUCAGGACGCGUAUGUGACAAGUAGAUCAAUUUCCCUACUAGUCUCUGAAAUUUCUCCCUAUCAAUCACAUCUUCAGCUUUAGCAGGAUUAAGUUUUAAGUUGACUUCAAUGGGAGUCUCAGCAGCCUUACAACCCAGAAAACCUGUCUCUUUGAGAAGAUCAAGAAUGUAUUUUCUUUGGUUUACAAAGAUACCUUCCUUCGAUCUUGCAAAUUCCAUACCAAGGAAGUAUUUUAGCACACCCAAGUCCUUGAUCUCAAAAUCUCGUGCCAUUUUCUCCCUAAGAUCUGCCAACUCUUUAGGAUCAUCACCUGUUAGAAUUAUAUCAUCCACAUAGACAAUUAGUAUUGAUAUCUUACCACUCUCUGAGUGUUUAUAAAACAUUGUAUGAUCAGCUUGGCUUUGAUUGUAGCCAUAACUCUUCACAGCCCUUCCAAAACGUUCAAACCACGCCCUUGGAGAUUGUUUAAGGCCAUAUAGGGAUUUUUUAAGUCUGCAGACUUUGUUUUGACCGAACACCUUCUCAAAUCCUGGUGGUGGACUCAUAAACACUUCCUCUUCUAAAUUCCCGUUCAGAAAGGCAUUUUUGAUAUCUAACUGGUGUAAUGGCCAGUUAUAAUUUGCUGCUAAGGAUAAUAGUACCCGAAUGGAAUUUAUUUUGGCGACAGGGGCAAAGGUUUCUUGGUAAUCAACCCCAUGUGUUUGAGUAAACCCCUUAGCCACGAGUCUGGCUUUAAAUCUCUCUAUACUUCCAUCCGCCUUGCACUUCACUGUAAACACCCAUUUGCACCCAACUGUUUUUUUAUCCAUGGGUAGGUCAACAACUUCCCAUGUCCCACUUUUCCUCAGAGCAUUCAUCUCUUCCAUCACCGCUGAUUUCCAAUCAGAAUCAUUAAGUGCUUCUUGAAUGUUUCUUGGCACAUGCAGGUUAGAGAUUUUAGAUAUAAAGGCAUUGUGUUUUUUCGAGAGUUUACCAUAGGAUAGAUAUUUGGACAUAGGAUGAGAAGUACAAGAGCGUUUUCCUUUUCUGAUUGCUAUUGGAACAUCAUAGUUAUUAGAAUUGUCAUCAAGCAUAGGAUUGACAGUAGGUUCAGAUAUUUCAUCAGGAUUAGGAACAAGAUUAUGUGAGGAAGUUUCUAGAGUACCUGUAUUUCUUUCAGAUUCUUCACUCAGGGUGUCUGGUUGGCCUUGUGCUAAAGGAAUAAUAGGUCUCUUACUCCUUGUAUGGUUCCUCCUUGAAUAAGUAAGAAGCUCUUUGUCUUGUUCCUUGAUAACAGAAGGUAGUAUUUCUGCCCCUGUCACAGUCUCAGCAGUGUUUGGCAAAAUAGUCUUGGUAUCACCAGUUUCAAAAACAACAUUAGGAAUAGCAAUCUUUUCAUUAGAAAACUCAUUUUGAGGUAUAGGUUUAGUAAUGCAAUCUAGGGUUUUAGGCAGGGGAUUGGAAAUAUCAUCCCAAAAAUUUUCUUCUUCUCUUAUUUUCUCCCCCUGAAGAGAAAUUUUUUGAAAAAAAAGGUUGAUUUUCCAGAAAAGUGAUAUCCAUAGAAACAACAGUUUUCCUAGUUUUUGGAUUAAAACACUUAUAUCCUUUCUUAUUUGGUGCAUAACCAAUAAAAAUACAUUUUUCAGCCCUUGGAUCGAGUUUAGACCGGUUUUUAUUAGGUAUAUGAACAUAAGCUGUACAUCCAAAAAUUUUCAGAGGAAGAUUAGAGUGAAUUCGUGAUUCUGGAAAAUAUUUUUUAAAACAGUCAAGUGGUGUAAUGUAGUUUAGAACACGGGUGGGCAUCCUGUUAAUUAGAUAGGAUGCAGUUAAAACUGCUUCGCCCCAAAGAUAUUGAGGAACAUUCAUAGAAAACAUAAUAGCACGAGAAACUUCAAGUAAAUGUUUAUUUUUACGCUCAGCAAUACCAUUUUGCUGAGGUGUAUCAACACAAGUAGUUUGAUGGUGAAUACCUUUUUCUGCAAAAAAAGUUCUAAGAUUUUGCUUAAAAUAUUCAGUUCCAUUAUCGGUAUGAAUAAUUCCAAUUUUAGUUUGAAAGUGGUUUUCAAUCAUCAAGUAAAAUAUUUCAAAUAAGUUCUGAACCUCAGAUUUUUCCUUCAUUAAAUAAACCCAGCAUAGGCGAGUAUGAUCAUCAAUAAAAGUCACAAACCAUUUUUUCCCUGAAGAAGUAUUAAUUUUUGAAGGACCCCAAAUAUCACUAUGGAUUAAAUAAAAAGGCUUUGAGGCUUGAUAAGGCCUUGAAGGAUAGAUAGUUCUAUGACUUUUUGAUAAAAUGCAGUUUUCACAAUGGAAUUCAGAACAAUUCAAACCUUUAAAUAAAUUAGGAAAUAAUUUUUUAAGAUAAGGAAAACUAGGAUGCCCUAGCCUAUAGUGCCAAAGCAUAAUUUGAUCCUUAACUUGAGUAGAACUAAUACUACUAAAGCCUUGAGCUUCUUUAUUCUUAGAUUCUUCAUCUUCAAAAUAGUAGAGACCAUCUAUCAAUUUAGCACUGCCAAUCAUCUUCCCCGAGUUCUGUUCCUGAAAGACACAGUGGUAUUUGGAAAAAAUAAUACGACAGUUAGAGUCUCUAGAUAAUUUACUAACUGAUAGCAGAUUACAGGUAAGUUUAGGAACAUGGAGAACAUUUUUAAGAGAGAUGGUUUUAGAUAGAUUUAUCAAACCGUUGCCAGCUAUAGGGGAAUAUGAACCAUCUGCUAUACGAACUUUUUUAUGACCAGAACAAGGGGUGUAUGUAUGAAAUAAAUGAGAAAAACUUGUCAUGUGAUCAGAGGCUCCUGAAUCUAUAAUCCAAGGAGUAUGAGAAAUAGGUAAAUGACAAGAGAGAGCAUUUAAUUUACUACCUGCUUGAGCAAUGGUAGCAUUAGGUGUACUUAAUGAUCCUGAGUUAGAUUUCAGCAGCUUCAGAAGGUGAUCCAUCUGCUCUUUGUUAAAGGGCACAGACUCGGCCUCAUGUGCAGCAGGAGUACGAGUGAAUCUGCCUUCAUGAGAACCCUUCCAAUUUGCUGGUUUUCCGUGGAUCUUCCAGCAAGUCUCUCGUGUAUGCCGUGGCUUAUUGCAGUGAUCACACCAAACGCGAGACUUUUCAUCAGGUUUCUUUGUAGCAGUUCGGCCAGCAUUAAUACUAGCAGCAAGGGCUGAGUUUUCAAUAGUGUUAACGAGAUUCCUUUUUCCAAGCAUAACAAGACGCCGACUCUCCUCACGGCGUACCUCAGAAAACACUUCUCCAAUAGAGGGAAGCGGCUGCCUCCCAAUAAUCCUGCCUCUAACUUGGCGGAUUUCUCCGAGUUUCAGAGUUAACUCAUAUACUUGAGAUUGAUUUCCCAAGUCAGAAUACAUUUGGUUAAUGUUGUCCCAAAGCUCCUUGGCCGUGUGAUAACACAUAUAGUUGGAGCUUAUGUCCUCCUCCAUAGAGUUCACCAACCAAGUCAUUACCAUCGAGUUCUCAGCAUCCCAUGUUGGAUAGGUUGCAUCGUCAGCCGCAGGCUCCUUUGUUUCUCCAGUCAAAUACCCGAUCUUGCCUCGACCACGGAUAUACAUGCGCACAGAUUGAGACCAACGCAGGAAAUUUUCUCUAUUCAGUUUAAUGGUAGUGAUCUGAAUGGAGUGAGAUUCCGUGGUUGAAGCCUGGGUUUUAGGCUGCGCAGCAGUAGGUGUUGGCAGGCUUGUAGAAGCAUUCUGGGUAUGUUGAAGGGUGUUUGUAGACUCAGAAACAACGUCGGACAUGAUGAAGAGGUAGGACUGAUUUUAGGGUAGAAAAGAAAGUAGGAGAACGGCUAGGUUUUCUGCAGGUAAGAGAAAGGACAGAAGAGCAAUAGGGUUUCCAGGAAUUAAAGGAAUUCCUGCUCUGAUACCAUAUUGGUGAAUAACUUGUAUUUCUAUAUUUCUGAUCAGAAUACAAUAGUACAAAUAUAUAGCUUUACAAUGAACUAAUUUAGGAAACUAUCCUAGCUAAUUGAGGAAAGUAUCCUAGCUAAUUGACAACUAUACACGCAGCUAUUCUAGGAAACUAGAUCAAUUCUAAUAACUCUAUUUUUGGUACAAUUUCCUCUGGUUUGAAUUAAUAUCUUGCAACAGUUUAACAAAGCAAAAAUGUGUUAAUGGCUUGAUGAUUUAUGGUUAGAAGGACUCUAGAAGACCUCAAUCAUUUCUGACAGUUGAUUUUGGGUUGUGGACUGUAAGUGGUUCAAGGGAGAUUGACCACAGAUAACGGCGUUAUUUGGAAAAGACGAGAUAUUGGAAUCGAAGCAAAUAUGAAAAAUAGUUAUUUUGAACUUGACCAUAUUUUCAACAAAGCAAAAAUGUGUUAAUGGUUUGAUGAUUUAUAGUUCGAAGGACGCUAGAAGACCUCAAUCAUUUCUGACAGUUGAUUUUGGGUUGAGAUCUCCUUCACAUCACCACCUGCAGAUAAACUAAGAUCUAGGUUAUGAACUAGACAGGCAUUGAACGAGUCAAGUUAUAACAGUAGCAUAAUAAAAAGAACAGCAAAGCAACAUUAAAAAAAUGAAAAGAAGAUUAAAAAAAAAAAAAGAAUGGUGAGCAACAGUUCAUUUAAAACAAUCAACAACUGUAUCUAGCAAGCAAGGGAUAUUCAUAACAAAAGACAUGCAUUUUAAGGGAACCUUUGGUACAAGAGGUGUGUUCCUGUCUUUUUGAAUUUCAGCAACAACCCCCUUGAUGUCCAUUCCUGCAUUUUCCAUUAAUGGUUACCUUCAAAACCUGCCGUAGCUCUGAAUAGCAGAUAGCCCAAAAAAAUGUAUAUGUAUGCAUGCGGACCAAUUCACAUGCAUUUGUAGAAUAGCAUCAAGCUAAAUGAAGCUUAGAAAAGUCCUUUAAUAGAAAAUGAUUAAAUAAAUGACUGAAAGAAGCUGUCUAAAAGGAAACUUAUUUUCGUUAAUUACCAGCACAUAAGGCACGGGGCGCACUCCCCUCAAUGAGCACACACUUUACCCUUGGAUCUGAUUCCCAUUUGUCAAGAAAACUUUUGUAUUUUAUGUCCAUAUCUGCAUCACCGAAAGCCUACAGGUUAAAGUAAACAACUAGAGAAAAGCACCAAAGAAUACAAGCUAAUAGUAAAUAAUUAAACAAAAAAGAGUUACAAAUUAAUAGCAGUUCUGGCUAAUAAACAAUAACUGCCUUUAAUAAAUUAGCAUACAGUCUGAAAUAUUUUUGAAAUCCAAAAGAUCUUCUUCUCCUUCUCGCAAGAAGCUUUAAUUUUCUACAGAAGAUUUUGCGUAAAUAUCAUAAAGUUGUUCAAAACCUCACAUCAAAAAUUGGUCUUGUCCAAGGUCCAACCCAGAUAAUAAAAAAAGUUAGGAAAUUCAACCAAAACUCUUCAACUGAAAAUUACUAGCCCUACUAAAAAGUAACAAAAACACUGUCAGUCUUAUCAUUCUUCUAAUGAUCUACAUUAUUCGCACUUUUCAUUUUAGAACAGAAUGACCAGUAUUACCCAAGGUGCGCACCUGGGGGGGGGGGGGGGGGGGAGAGGAUCUCACCUCAGUUAACACGUGCAUUUGAAUAAAUCACGGGUUGAAAAAACGAAUCAUAUUUCAUUUUUGGAAACACAUCAUUCUUUUCACCCAGUAAAUAAGAACCAGCACCGGUCAACAUAGUAGAGAAGCAACAGAGAGUUAAAAAUGAAAAUUAAAAAAAAAAAAGAAUAUCACCACAGUUAACACAUGCAUUGGAAUAAACCAUUGGUUGAAAAAAUGAAUCAUACUUUCAUUUUCGGAAACACAUCAUUGAUUUCACUCAAUAAAUAAGAACUAGCACCAGUCCACAUAGUAGACUUAAAACUUUUUUCCUGUGGCACUUUAAAGAAUCUCUUCAUUCUUGAAAUUAUUCAUUUAUUUUACCCAGUAAAUAUAUUAUCAAGUAACAAAUACAUAUAGUAUAUCACACAAUUUUUCACUAGUCACAUUUGUAUCCAAGUUUAAAUUCUGGUGUUAAAAAACUAGAAUUUUGCCACAUGGAAAAAUCUCUCUUAUUUUCUGUUCAACAAUUUUCAGCGCGUACCUUAAUUAUGUACUAAUGGAAAUUAUUAAUUUAGCCUAUUAUUCUAAGUCGGACCUAAAAAUGUUAUCUUAUAGAGCAUUAAUUUAUAUAGGUUAUAUUGUACGGAUAAAUAAAUAAUACUCUAAUUUCAAAAAAAAUUAAAAGCUUAAGUUACUACAUAGUAUUGAUCGCCCUUAACAUACUAAGAAAAUAAGCAAUUACAAUUAAUUACAGUAUUGAUGAUUGAUUACACGAGGCAUCGCAAAUUAACGCACGCCAUUUUACGAAUCAAAAAAAAAAAAAAAGCGACAAAGUAGAAAUGACCACUGAGCAAAUCUUAUAAAAGGAAAAAAAGAUUGACCUAGAUUCAUGGCGUUGAGAGCUUUGGGACGAUCGAGAGUGAUGACAGCGACGCCGUUUGGAUGAACAUUUCCUUUGACGAACUCUUCGGCUCCGGCUGCAGCCAUGGACGCAAACGUUCUGGAAUUACCAGAGGUUUGUGGAUUGCAGAGAGAUAAUCUGAUGAAACGACAAGUUGAUUGGUGUCGUUGAGAGCGAGUGAUUGUCGUUUGGUUAAAGAGUAGAGUUGAUGAUUUGGUAAAGAUUUGGGAGACUGAGAGUGAGAGUGAUAAGCUUCGCAUGUUAAAUUUUGUGAAACUGUUACUCCCUGAGUAAAUGAUAGUUUUGGUUGCCGUUGACUGUUGAUUGCCCGUCAGAUUCUUUUUCCUGUUAAAAUUCGUAUAAAAUCCUUAUUUAUUUGAGGGUGAGGCGUUAUUUAAAUUCAUUAUAAUAUUUAUUAAAUUUUAUUCCUCAAUAAAUUGAUCUACAAAAUUUUAAGAUUUAUCUUUCACUGAAUAAAACAUCUCUAUGCUAAAUAUAAAAUAUUCCUUUUAUAUAUGCUUGAAAAGUGAAAAUCUAUUGUUCACGCUUGUUUUUCACUAAUUUAAAAAUUAAAUAAAUGGGACAAUAUAAAGAAUAAAAUACAUAGAAUUUAUAUGAUCUAGAGCUUGCCUUAUAUACACCGGAUUUAAAAAAACAACCUUCACUAUUUAAUAAUAAUUACAAUAUAAUUUUUUUUUAGCUAUUUGCCUCUAAAUUUUUGCUUGCCCAUUAUGCAUUAAGGACUUUCUAUUUACAAUACAAUUUUUCAAUAUUUUAAAUCGUUGAUAUUUCUUAUUGUAAUAUGCUUCCACUAAUUAAUUAGAGUUUAAUUCAGAGUCUAUAUUUAUUUCAUUCUCAAAGUUAGUCUCUACAGCUUCUAGUUUUUUUUUUUUUGGU